AACUAAUCUCGAGGACGGGAUCCUGUGCAGCGGAAGCGAAUGAUGCAGAACAGACUUGAACCUAUGUUGAUCGGAUUAAACCGAUUUAGUUCAUCAAAUUGUUAGGAAAGCUGUUAAUUUGGUAGAGAUUUAUAUAAAAGUUGGAGAUUUUAUUGUUAGAAUUUUUGUUUUGAGCUUAUCACUGUCGGAAAAAACUUUUUAAAUAUUCUCUACAUUGGACGAUAAAGAAUUAAUGAAGAAGAAUGUUAUUUUUUAAAAUGAGAUGUGGUCUCUAAUUUUCGUUCGUAUUUAUGUGUCGACCGGAGCAAGUCCGUAAGGAGCGAGUCCCUUAUCUUUAUCCUUUCGUUUUGCAAUUUCUCCUCCGACUUGAAACCCAGCACCAUUAAUACGCCUGCUGCCAGCACAUCACCGCCAUCUGCUGCCAGCGUCAUCAACACCACCUAUUGCCGUCAAUUGAUGCAUCUGCUGCCAGCACCUUUGACAAUGCCUGCUGAUAGUAGCACCGGCUCCAUCCGCACUUCCUUCAUCUCCCAUUAUUAUUGUCAUCGCUAAGUGUGUCCACCGUCGUUAUCUUCUACCUUUUAUUUAAUUUUUAUUUUUUUUAAUUACGAUUUUUUUAAAGCAUUUUAAAACUUUCAAAAUUUUAAAACGUUUUCAAAAUCAUAAAUUAUAUUUUAGAACCGUCUAAGAAUGUAGGACCUACAUCCCAUCCUGCGUACCUGCGUCACUUUCCAUUACUCCAUCUACAACUACCCACUCCAGCACACCUCCUCAAAAGGAAAAAUUCUAGAAUGCAACGGGUAUAUUGGUGACGUGGUGUACCAAACCAAUCAAAUGUCUCUUUUUAAAAGUAUACGUCCCAUCAGGAUUGCAAAAAAUAUUUUUAUUAUACUUUUGUUUGAAAAGAAGGAAUGUGAUUGGCUUGUUAUUGAUGACGUGGUGCAAGUGUGAUAGUGUAGAAUACCUCCCUCAAAAGGACGUGCUCGUAUCUUUGGAAAUAGUGCAUCUAUAAAUUUGAUAUUUUUUGCUCAUUAGGAAGGGGGAUGAAGCCCAACAUCCAUUUCCAACUAGAUUAAUUACACAAGGCACAACAGUCCUCCAUAAUUAGAUGUUGGAUAAGACCCAGUAACAGAGCCCGAACCGCACCGCCUGCGGCUUUCCAUCCUGACGUUGCCGCAACAACUCUAAUGCCGGCGUCGCUGCGCCUCAACUUACAUGCUGUUGCGGCCUUCACCAACGGCGAUGCUCUUAACUCGUGUGCCGCCGCGGUUCGACUUCUACGUGUCCAACUCGCAUACCGCUGCAGACCAGCAUCAACGCCUUCGACUCGCGCGCCGUCCCAAACUACCAGCGACGAUGUGAUUGAGGCCUCCUACUCUAAUGCUGCCAUGAAAUUAAGCUCGAGCAUUGCCGCGGAGUGCAACUUUGGCAUGCCCAUGGCCUUCAAGACCGACACAACCGUGGGCUAUAUAACUUUGGUGCGCCUACGACCACUGCAUCGAACAGAGUCACGACCUCCAAUUUAGCUGACAUUACGGGUCCCAACCUGAUGUAGAAGUUACCUCUAGUUGAGGCGUCACCAAAGUUGCAAUCUCUAACACUAUGUGUCAGAUCUAUCGCAUGUUUGACGUAAUGCCCAAGACAAAUCUUUGCCUGGGUAUCUACGGGCGCACCAUCGACAAUCAUGGAGGAGCACCGAAACUAUCAAUCUUCUGCUUUGGCGCUUAGCCGUCAACAGAAGAGAAGACCCAGCAAUGUCACGCCCCGAUUUCAUAGUGGAAGCCUGUGGGGACGUCAACAGACUCGCCGAACGGACAGAGUUUUUUCUCUCUGCACGAAGCGACCAACGAGAUAGAAGCAGUAAUAAGGGAAUCAAAGGGUCAACAUUAACGAUUCUAGAGUCCACAACUAAACACAAAGUAUCUGAGUGAUUUAUGUAAAACUAAACUAAACAACUACCACUAUUCAUACAAAUAUACAACCAUACAUUUCAAAAUAAAGAUACAUAAGUAAAGAUCCUGGCUUCACCAGUCCUGAUGUACAUUACAUAAUCUCAAAAUCAAUUAGCUGGUGGUCCUCUAUAUACACAGGUUGGAGAUGCAUGCUACCUAUGGCGUGAUUCUCUUAACUCGAUGAUCCGUUGGUGUAGCUGUAUUUGAAAAGUAAACAAUAAAAAAGUGUGAGAACUACUAGACGGUAGUUUCGUAACAACCACGACCUUCCUACUGGGUCUACUAGAGAUAAGAAUAGGAAAAAAAAAGUAGUAUAGUAUACGAUCAACUAAGCUACAAAGUAUGAUAAAAAAGAAAAAUACUUUUACUAACAUCAUGCCUCUAGACAUAUAUCCUAUCUAUCAUGCUUCUAUAAAAGUAUACUGUCUAUCAUAUCUCUAUACAUGAAAAAUGCGAUAAUAAAGCCGUCUGAUAUAUGCAUCAACUCCAAUAUUGAUAAAUAGGAACGGUACACCGUACAAAGUAAAUAACCAUGCCAUGUAUCCACUAGUGUACUAAUGUUGAGUGUAAGGUGUCACCCGGUCAUAUACAUGCAACCCUAUCAACAUACUGUGACCCAAUCAUAAACUGACCAACUCGUAGGUCACAUAUGUAAGGAACAAAAGACAAAGUGACUAGAAUAUGUAUCAAUGCUGAUACUAAUAAAUAAAUACAGUAAUAAUAUCUAAUCGCAACGACCGAGUCAUAGGUCCGGUCAAGCCUGCGCCUGCCUAGUGUCCAAACCGCAAUCCCGCAGGUGCGCCCGUUAACAUGUAGGCUCUAUCCCUAGCCCGAUCACCACUCCCACAGAUGGGUCGUCAUCCCAAGGGUAAAUAUCUCUGCAAUAACUGGCCAGCAUCAGGAGCGGCACUCGAAGGGGAGCAACCCCUACCGUAUCUAAUAGCAUGUAACUCUAUCAAGCUCAAUGUGGCUCUGUAGGCUAUGGUCUAUGCAAUGAUCAAACAAAUCACAAAUAACCAAUCUGCCUCGGCAUAAUCAUAAAAUGUCAACUAAGUCAUAUAUUACAGUAGUAUAAUCAUAUACCUCUCAAUAUCCAAGAUCUAUCAUAUGAACUAGAGUAUAUAUAAUGCAGAUGAACACUAGAUCUCUUACUAAAUAUGCAUAUGAUGUCCAGGGGUAUUUACUAAAGAUGCAUAUGUUGUCCAAUGGCCCUUCCCAGUCUAACUUAGUGUAUGCAACAUAAUAAACUAAUUGGUAAUUACUAAACUAAAGCAAUUCAACCUAUUGAUCAUAUAAUUAGACAUAGGUUAAUGUUUGCAUGAAUAUACUAUAUAUGUAAUCCAUUUCCUCUAUUUAAUUUCAAACUAAAACAAUUUUCUACGAAUAUAUAACCAUAUACAUACACCUACAAAUGCACCAUAGACAUAUACAUGAUUUAUUGCUCAAUUAAUCUAACAUCAACCAGCGUUCACAUGCAAUAUCUAAAUUUUCACCCUUCACUCACCUAUAUUGCCAUCACCACCCUCAAAGCGUGCAACCUGCAUUCAUAAACAUAUACAAAUAUAUGCAAAAUAGACGUAGAAGGAAGUUCGCUAUUUUCGGCGACACGGAACCCACCUAGAUUGCAAUCCAAAGAUGACAAUGAACAUAGGAGAUGCGAGCUGCUUUGCUGCAGUCUUCCCGGUCCUUACAGCAGCCACAACAUCAAAAAAAAUUCGCUCAAAAAAAUCCCGCAACGAAUCUCACGUGAAAUUAGGGAUGCCAAUGAGUAUGAAUAUCCGAAAUAUUACCCGAAUCCGAACCCGAACGGGGCGGGUUUAUCCGAGCUAAAUGGAUAUGGAUUCGGUUUACAUGGAAAAUAAAAACCCGACGAAUAUGGAUACGGGUAUGGAUUUUGUAUUUACCCGACCCGACACCGAACCCGAACCCGAAUAAAUUAUAUAUAUAUACAUACUUUAUUUUUAUUUAUUUAUAUAAUAUAUAAAAUAUUUAAUAAUUUUUAUCCCUUAGAUCUUAAUUUAACGGUAUGGAUUCUUAAAACCUGCCGGGUCCGGGUCCCGGUUUGGUCGGGUACGAAUAUGGGCAUGGAUUUUUAAAACCCGCCGGGUUCGGGUUCGGGUUCGGGUCCGGAUACGGGUUUUAAUUUGGUUUUCGGGUUCGGGUUCGGGUUCGGGUUCGGAUACGGGUUUUAAUUUGGUUUUUGGGUUCGGGUUCGGGUUUUUAAAAACCCGACCCAAACCCGACCCGUUGACAUCCCUACGUGAAAUCGACUCCUGAUUCACAUACAAAUCAAUACUAUGGACAAAGUAGAAAGUAACCAAGUGCUACUAAGUAGAUAUCUAUAUCUCACAAUGAAGUUCAAGUCUCUUGACUACAUAAAUAUGCGAUUUGGAAUAGAAGAUAAUUAACAUGUAUGUGGAAUUACUCAACAUGUGCUACAUAAGGUAUAUAACAAGGAAUAUGCAAUCAACAUGCAUAUAAUCGAAAUGCCAUGAUUCAUAUCACAAGUACGAGUUCUAAAUGUCAUAAUAAUCAGGGAAUCAACAUCGAUAAAGAAACACUGCAGCCAAAAAAAUUGAAAGUUGCAGUGAAGUUUAUCGACAAGUCUGAUUUAAUCGAUUCAUUUUUAGCUCUAACCGUAAUGGUUUCGCCUCAAAUUUCAGCUGUAGUUAGUUCACAUCCUUAAGAAUAUCUGUUCCCAAUUUCACAAUCUAAUUCAAAACGAUCAAGGAGAAAUUAGAAAACAUAUUACUUGCUGUCCUGCACUGACAUAGGGCUACUAAAACUACUAAAAGCCUAAUUUCUCUUGAAAUAUAACUCCGUUUAGUCUCAAAUUUAUAUAUUAUAAUCUCGACAUCCAUAGGUACUAAUCAGCGAAAUUUCAGAGUUUAAUUCCAUAUAAAACGGAAGAAAUUAAUAGAAGAAAUCUACUGUCAGCACUACUCUAACAGCAGUUUAAGCCAAUCUUUGUAUUCUCUUUUAUAUACCCAUCUAAUAAAGUAAAAUCAAAUUCAAGCCUUAACCAUACACAUCAAAUAAAAUAAAAUCAACUAUUUAGAGCAUCAAAUUCAAGCCUUAACCAUUUACAUCCAUAAAACCCAGCAAGAUAUUUACCUCUAUUACCCAAUCCAUUUUCUUUCAAUUUGUUGCCUAAUCAAAAGUUGGGUUGGCCUCCAAUAAAGCUUUCUUCCAAUUUUGCUAGAAUUUUCCACAAAUUUAUCACAAUUUUGCACCUAUUUGUGUGUGAGAAAGAAAGAAGAGGAUAAGGGAUUUUGAGAGGAGAAGAAAGAAAGAGAAGAUGGUGUCGGUUGGGGAAGGGAGAAAAAUCGGGUUAAUUACACAAGUACGUAGUCCCCAACCUUUGCAGUAAUUUUUAUUGGCCAAUUUGCCUAAAAAAUUCACUUAUUUUUGACUUUUCAAAAUCGGACCACCAUUUUCAUUUUUACAGAUUCGGUUCGUUUUUUCAGCAAACUGACCAAAAUACGCUUAUACUGUUCUCUCUCUCCUCUUUUUUUUCUCUCGUUCUUUUUUUCUUUCUCUUCCCAGAGAGCGGCGGAGACAGAGGCAGAGGCGGAGGUUGAGGCGAAGGCGGCCUGCUUUAGUUUUGUCUGACGCAUCCUUAUCCUCGCUCGCACACCCCCCGCCUUCCUCGCCUCUGACACCGCCGAGGCCGCGCUGCGACUUUUUUUUUUUUCCCCUCUCCGACCCUCCUCCACCGCCACCGACGACGACGACUAUCUCACACUCUCUCGCCUUUCUUACCCUUUCCCUCUCCCUCCUCCUUCACCUCUUCCGCCGCCUUCGACGAUGACACUUCUCCGCCGACAUCGGCGCCGCGGAGGAUUUUUUUUUUUUCCACUCCGACUCUCCUCCACCGUCUCCGACGACGACGCCUCUCUCGCCCUUCCCCACCCUUCUCGUCCUCUCCCUCUCCCUCCUCCUCUGCCGCCUCCGACGACGACGCAUCUUCGCCGACGCCGACACCGCGGAGGUCACUGCGGCACUGCAGCCUCAGAGCGGGGGGUCCUUAGCGGCGUCGUCGCCGGCGUCGUGGCUGUUAGCAGAGAGGGGUGACAAAAAAAAAUAUAGAAGAAGCAAGAAAAAAAAUAAAGAUAAAAAAUUAUAGAAAAAGAAUGAUGAAAAUGAAAUUACAUCGUUAACUGCAACAAAAAAUUAUAAGUUGCACUACUUAAGAUAAAACUGCAGCUUUAAGAUGAAAAUUACACUCUUUGGGAAAUAUUUACACUGUUUCUCCUCUUAUUGUACUCUUUCAGAUAUAAACUGCAUCCAUUAAGAUAAAAGUUAUACUCUUUAAACGAAAGUUGCACUCUUUGAGAGAUAUUUAUACUAUUUCUUCUCUUCUUGUACUUUUUUAGAUGUAACUGCACCCCUUUAAGAGAUAUUUAUACUGUUUUUUCUUUUGUUGCACUGUUUUUUCUUUUGCUGCACUGUUUUUCCUCUUAUUGCACUGUUUCUCCUUUUAAAGGGUGCAGUUUAAGAUAAAAAAUAGUAAAACAAGAGAAGAAAUAGUGCAACAAGAAUAGAAACAGUGCAACAAAAGGAGAAACAGUGCAACAAUAUGAGAAACAAUAUAAAUACUUUUUGAAGGGGUGCAGUUUACAUCUCAAAGAGUGCAAGAAGAAAAACAGUGUAAAUAUCUCUCAAAGAGUGCAACUUUCGUUUAAAGAGUGUAACUUUCAUCUUAAUAGAUGCAGUUUACAUCUGAAAGAGUGCAAUAAGAGAAAAAACAGUGUAAAUAUCUCCCAAAGAGUAUAAUUUUUGUUUAAAGAGUGUAAUUUUUAUCUUAAAGCUGCAGUUUACAUCUUUAGUAGUGCAACUUAUAAUUUUUUUCAGUUAACUAUGCAAUUUCAUCUUCAUCAUUCUUUUUCUAUAAUUUUUUAUCUUUAUUUUUUCUUGUUUCUUUUAUAAUUUUUUUUUCUUGUUUCUUCUAUAAUUUUUUUUUUUGUUACCCCUCUCUGCCAACGGCCACGACGCCGGUGACGACGCUGCUAAGGACUCCCUGCUUCGAGGCUGCAGCGCUGCAGUGACCUUCACGAUGUCGGUGUCGGCAUCGACGCCAGAGAAGAUGCGUCGUCGUUGGAGGCGGCAGAGGAUGAGGAAGAGGGAGAGGACGAGAAGGACGAGGAAGGACAAGAGAGACGUCGGGUCGGAGAUGGUGGAGGAGAGUCGGAGAGGAGAAAAAAAAAAAAGAGUCGCGGCGCGACCUCGGCUUGGUCGGAGGCGUGGAAAGUGGGGUGUGCAGGAGAGGAUAAGGAUGCGCCGGACAAAAUCGAAGCAGGCCGCCUUCGUUCUGUCUUUGCCGCUCUCUGGGAAGAGAAAGAAAAAAAGAACGAAAGAAAAAAAAGAGGAGAGAGAAAAAGGUAUAAGGGUAUUUUGGUCAGUUUGCUGAAAAAUCGGACCGAAUCUGCAAAAACAAAAAAUGUGGCCCGGUUUUGCAACAGCUCAAAAUAAGUGGAUUUUUUAUGCAAAUUGGCCAUUUUUUUUUAAAAGUCGCUAUGUCUCAAUCUUUUUCUGAAUUUUUUUGUUAUUUAUUUUCUAAUCUUGUAGUCUUAUUACAAUUACAUCAUAACUGUAAAAAAAAUAUUAAAAUUAACGGAAUCGCCACAUCAACGUCUAUUUGGCAUCCUUUUGCAUGUUAAGUUAGGUCCCUAAACUUUGCAUGUUUUUCACUUUAAUCCCUAAAAAUAAAAAUUUUAAAUUUUAAAUUUAAAUUAACAAAUAAUAUUAAAAUUAAAAUUUUAAACUAACGAGAAAUUAGAAUUUUGAAUUCGAAUUUAAAACUGAAUUAAAAUUUUGAAUUGAAAUUCAAAUUUUAAAUUUAAAUUUUUAAUUGAAUCUAAAUUUUGAAUUCAAACUUAAAAUUUUGAUUUUAAAAUCAUAUUCAAAAUUUUGAUUUUAAAUUUUAAAUUUGAAUUCAAAAUUUAAAUUUGAAUUUAAGAUUUGAUUUCAAUUAUAAAUUUGAAUUUAAACUUUGAAUUCAAAUACACAUUUUGAAUUUGAAAUUUGAAAUUGAUGUUUGAAAUCAAAUUAGAAUUUAGAAUUCGAAAUGUAAAUUUGAAUUUAAAAUUUAAAAUUUAAAAUCAAAUACAAAAUUGAAAUUUGAAUUCUAAUUUAAAUUUGAAUCCGAAAUCAAAAUUUAAAUUUAAAAUUUAAAUCUUAAAUUAAAAAUCUAUUUUUGAAUUUAUAAAUUUAAUGAGUUAAUUACACCAUUGGUCCCCAAUCUUUGCAUUGUUUCUCAAUUAGAUCCUCAACCUCUUUUUUUUUUUUGCAAUCUGCUGACAUAGUGCCACCGUGGCGCUGACGCGACACCUUUAUGACGCUGAUAUGGCGCCUUCGUGACACUGACAUGGUACUGACGUGAUAUUUUUCGUCAAUUUUAAUAUCUAUUUAACGGACGGGACUUAAUUGUAAUGAAAUCAAGAAAUUAGAAACUUGAUUGCAAAAAAAAAGGUUGGGGAUCAAAUUGAAAAACCGUGUAAAGGUUAGGGACCAUUGGUGCCCACAUCAUAGGCGGAAGAUCAGAAGACCGAUCCCGCCUAACCCGCUUCCACCACACCUUCGCCGCCUUCUCAAGGCAGUGUGUGGCGAGGUGUACCUUGUCCUUCUCCAAGGUGUAUAGGUCCUCGAAGAGUUUCUCCAUGGAGUCGAUCCAUGACUCCACUACCGCCGGUUCCACCAUCCCCCCUUCGAAGAUAGGUGGGUUGAACUUCUUGAAUUGAAUGAGAGCCGCCAACGCGCGCUCCCGCUCCGCCUCUUCCGUCGUACUAUCGGGAUUUGAAGUCCCCGAUCCAGCCGGAAUCGCCGUAACUGGAAUGGCCGCCGCGGCCACACCCUUCGCUACGGUCGGCACCACCGCAGGGGGCGUAGGGGGCUCGGCCUCCACGUGAGCCGUCGCCGCCUGCUGUCGCUCCAAGGCCUCUUAAAGCCGUCGUAUCUGCUCCCCCUGACGCUGAACCAACUCCGCUUGCUGUUGCACUACGCCAAUAAGCGCGGCCAUCUGCUCCCGAAGCUCCCCGUCGCCACCCGCUCCGGGUUGCACAGGAGCCGCACUUGGUUCCUCGGGCAUCGACCUUGUUCGGGGUCGACCACGAGGCAGCAUUGCUUCCUGAAACGAAGCAAUUCACGUUAAUUACUUAACCAACAUACUCGAACUUACCCAAUCCGGCGAAAGCAAAAGUGUAUUUAUUUUUAUUUCCAAGCAUCAUGUAGUUGGCCGCCGAUCACAACACAAGGAAAAUAAAAAACAAAUAUCAACUUAAAACUAGUCCCUAACUAUAUUAGAGACAUACUAACAUCAACCCAAUCAUAAGCUUUCGCUAUGUUUUGUCCAACGUCACUCACGUUCCCAAGAUCCUUAAGGUCUUUCCAUUCCUAAAGGUCUCUAGGUCCAUCCUAUACGUGCACUUUUUGGCUUUUUACACUCUAAUACCAUUAUAUCUGUCACGCCCCGAACCCGGUCCUAUUUGGCCAGUUCGGACCCGUCGAACAGACACCGAACGAACAGAGCCUCUCCUGUCCACCCAAGGCUCAACAACAAGUACAAAUAGAGUAUAAAAUUUGCACAUGCGGAAGUAUACAUAAUGGCUUGCACGAGGGCAAGCAGUAGCCAGAGUGAAAGUACUAUCUACUCAACAUACAAGUAAUAUGAUUCCCUUUUAACCAUAUACAUGCAUACAUCUUUAAACAUUUAGAUUCUUUACAUUCUUUGCAUUAUUUUUUUCUACAACUCAAGUUCUCCAAAAUAUAACUUCUUGCUUUCAAUAUAAAUCCUUUUACAUCAUUCAUGUUCUUUCAUUUAAACGUCUAUAAUCAUCAAAAUACAAAGGAUGAUGUAAGAGGGUAUGCAACUACAAAAUGUAAAGUAUCUCGGGCGGUCUCUGUCUAGGGUGCGAUACCCUUACCGCGAUCAUCCACCGGUUCGCUCGGUCUUGGCUCUGUGGAAAUAGUGGGGUGAGAACUACAACAAAGUUUCCAGUGGGUUCGACCGCCGACCAUGCCGACUUUCCCACUAGGUCUAAAUCAGGCAUAAUAGAAGAAAAAUAGAUAGUAACCAACUAAACAAAUGCAGCUAAUAUGCCUGAACAAUAAACAAUGUUAUGCGCAAUAGAAUGCUCAUGAUGAAUGCAAAAUCACUUUUCGGUUCCCAAUCUCUAGGCUAGCCCGUGGGUUUCGCCCUCAAUAGACUCACCAAUUCAAAUCCCAAGUAUCGGGAAGACUACUAUGCCCGAUGGGACCGUCCUCUGAGGGAUUCCACGUCCCAGUGAUGACAACUCCAGAGCACAUCGCCCCAGGGGGAGCUACCGCCCUCGAGCAAGGACUUACAGGUGAGUAUGAUCAAAUCCUUAACUAUAAGGAUGUCAAGUUCAAUCCAUUCCUUAACUAUAAGGAAGCUAUGCACAUAUGACCCUUAACUCUAAGGUUGUAUGUCAUAAUGUCUCUAUCACACUUUUACUUGCAUUCUUUUCUUUCACUAGUGUCAUGUACACUACUUUGUUCUUGUACUGACACACUCAUGCCACACUUGUUUUCGAAGUGUUCAACUCUAGCAUUCUUGACUCGUCGAUGCCACUCUCUACACUUAUGUCAACAUGAUACAUUUGUUCUCUAAGUUCACUAAGUUCUUGUCAUUUAUUAUGCAUACAUAGGAUUUAUAAAUUCUCACUUUCUUACUAGUAUUUCUAUAGUACAUUGAACUUUGGCAAAUUGCGAAGUUCGAGUGGGGGAAGGCCAAUUGGAAUUAGCCGACAUCUUCUAAAGGGUUUAGAGAAGUUGGUGAACAGGUUUGAGAGUGAUCGGAGCGCGGGAAGCGAGAAAGUGCAUUGCUGUGGAUUUAUUUCACUAUUUUGCAUUGUUGUAUCGGUACAAAUAUGUAUCUGUACCGGUACAACAAGCAGCAGAGGCAGCAGCUACGUGGCAGCAGGCCUAAUUUGGUCUUUUCUCAUCUCUAGCUUAUCUAUAAGCCUCUAGCUCGACCCCUGCCCUUCAGAUAAGGUUGCUGGGACUCUGAACCAAGGGUUUACACCUCUCUUACUUUUUCUCUCUAGGAAGUGUUCUCUCUCUAAGUGGAAUCAAGGGUUUUGGUCCAUUUUCCUCUUCUCUUUUGAUGCUGAUUGCUUUGGGAGGUCAAGGAGCUAUUACAGAAGGUGAAGAAGGUGUCUUGGGGCGAAUUUCGCAGCUCCCUUGCAGCAGGUAGCUGAGGGAAAGGUUGCUAAGGUAACAACUUAAUUAAUUUAAGAUUUGAUGUGUUGGUGAUAGAGUUAAGUGUGAUUUUGAGUUCUUGUAACCAGCAGCAGUGGGGGAGAGAUUUUGGCAGCUCGGGAAGGGGGCUGUGGCUGCGGAGCUUCAAUCCGAAGCUAGGGGANAUUUCGCAGCUCCCUUGCAGCAGGUAGCUGAGGGAAAGGUUGCUAAGGUAACAACUUAAUUAAUUUAAGAUUUGAUGUGUUGGUGAUAGAGUUAAGUGUGAUUUUGAGUUCUUGUAACCAGCAGGAGUGGGGGAGAGAUUUUGGCAGCUCGGGAAGGGGGCUGUGGCUGCGGAGUUUCAAUCCGAAGCUAGGGGAAGGUACUACCAAAGCUGUGAGAAGGUAAUUGAGUGCUUAGACGCAUAAUUGAUGCUAUAUAAGUUAUAAAUAUGAAGUAUGAAUGCUGAUUUUGGGAGUUUGUGUUCUCAGCAGCUGGAAUCUUCACUUUAAACUGAGUAUUACAAUCUUAUGAGCUGAUUUUGAAUGUAAUUUAACCAGAGGAAAGUGAGAAUUCAAGUUGGGAAUCUACGCAAGCUGAAUUCCAGCAUAUUCUAAGAAAUCGCAUAGGUGUACUAACACUGUUUGAGCAGUGUUCGCAGCAGGUUUGCCAAAGGCUAUCGGAUUGUUCUCGGCUGAUAUUUAGGAGCUUUUGGAGGUUAAGGUGAGUACCUUAACCUGAACCAAAGCAGGGGUUCAAGCUACAGCCGUGUGCAAGGUGAGAUGUUGCUGAAAUUAGAUGUUUUGGUAAUUGUCUCAAUGCAGUUUUCUAACUAGUUCGCAGCAGGUGCGAAGAUCACUUUGGGCUGAACAUUGAGCCCCUUUUUGGGCUGAAUUAAACUGAGUUUGGGAGUACUUCAACCUGAAUUAAGCAGAGGUUUAGUUUCAGUCUAAGCCUAGGUGAGGAUUUAGUCUAUUUUCUAUGAUUAUGUGAAGUUUUACCAUUGGUAUAGAAGUCAGCUCUUAGCUGAUUUCGGAUUUGAUGUUAGGGGAAUUGAAGGCUUCGGAUUUCCUACAAAAGUAAGUUCGACAAGGAUCGUCAAGUAGUAGGUGGGUUUGACCUUACCAGAACAAGUGAAACCCCUAUGUUCUAUAUGAUACUAUAGAAUUACUUGGAUGUGUAACUUUAUGAAUAAGUACUCAACAUCAGGAAUUGAAUGCUAUAAACACAUUGGUUUAUUGAGUGAAAUGGAACUUUUAUAAUGUGAAUAGAAGCAUGAGUAAUAGUAAUGAUGCUUAGUCUAAAUAUCUGGACCUUACAUGGCAUAGGUACAUAUGCAUUACUUUCUUAACUUGUUGAGUCCAGUGGAUAUUAGCCUUUUCACUAUGUUUAGAUUCCGACCUAUUGGUCGAGAGUGAGAACCUUACAUGUUAUGGUAUGAUUAUCUAAAACUAUUAGACUAUGGAUUAUGCUUGCUUGCCAUUGUGCUCAUUCGCACAUGCUUGUGAGAGUCGCGCCCCAGAAGCCGGCACUCCGGAGUUGGCCUACGCGACAGAUUGCUCGCCCGUGCGGGAUUGGGUGCCGAAGUGGAUUGCCGUGGGGAGUGUAUACUACCACGGGGCCAUUAGGCGCGGCGCAAGCUGUACUACCUUGAGUAGGUCGUUACGAAUUAAACUAAAGUACUAACGGAUAGUAAUAUAUGAUUACCCUUAAUCAAUGUACAGUUACACACUUACAUGACAUGUUUAUGUUCAUAGCAACUACCUUACUUGCUUCUACUUGAUUGAUACAUCUGAUAGUAUGAUACAUGUUCAUAGUUUAUUAUCAUUGAUAGAUCUAGCAUGCAAUAACUAUUUUUUUUUUACUUUUCAAUUAGUACAUCUUGAGCCUAGUGGUGUAAUUCGCUGAGGCUGGCGGCUUACCCACUGGAACCUAUUGUUUAAUAGUUUUCACGCUCUCUUUAUUAUUGCUUUCACAGAGCCAUCCACUACGGAAGAGGUUAGGGAUCGCGGCAAGGGAGUCGCGUCUAGCUAGAGAUAGCGUGGAGCCCUACUAGGUGAUCACCUCGCUACCUGGACAUAUGGACGAGAGUGAUGUGUACCCUAUGUAGAGAGACUACCAUUUCUGUAUAUAUAGUUUUGGGUGACUCUAUGAUGUAUAUUUGUUUAGAACAGUGGAUUUACAGUUUUGGGUUUUAUCUUUUGUUGAGCUUUGUAGGGUUAUACUUACUUUUCUCUAGUAAUAGUACAGUUGAUAUAUAUAUAUAUAUAUAUAUAUAUAUAUAUAUAUAUAUAUAUAUACUUUGCUCUGAUAUCAGGUUAUAAUCUUCUUGUAAUUACUACUUUUCUGACAUGAUUUCUGUAGACGUCUUAUAUACUGCAGGUAUCUGACGGGUCUGUGCAUGUACCGGGUAUGCUUCCGUUAGGACCCGGGCGUGACAGAUUAUAGUGGUAUCGGAGCCUAGGGUUGAGUCUUAGUGGACCUAGUAAACCUUAGGCUGGUUGGACUAUAGGAAAUAGGCUCGCGAGAGACGAGGUCUAUUUAAUUUUAAAGCGAAAGUAUUUCGAUUGGGUAUUUUAUAAACUCCGAAUAGGAGGAGUUUAAUUGAAAGGUGCAACUACUAACUUUGUAGAGAGCCACGCUGGCGGCCGACAACGUUACAUCGGAAGUUAGUGGGUGGCACAUUUCAUUACUUUCGCCUGAUUGGGUGGUUAAGGUAUUGAGUGGGGUUUCGAUAGUGUGAGUUUUAUUAACUUACGCUUAUUAUGUUUGUUGCAGUUUAAUAUGCCUACAACUCGUUCUAUGGCUACUGGAGCGGUCGAGGCAGCUGAUGCGGAGGAAGUGGAGACCUCCGCUACCUCCGGAUCUAGUGAGGUCCGUGAGUUGCAGGAUCAGCUUGCGGUGUUGACAGAUUUGGUGACACAGCAGGCAGCGGCAGUGCGACAACAGAUGGAUGCUGCACGCCGACAGGAGGAAAGAAUGAAGCGAUUGGAGGAUUUGUUACUACGGCAGAUGACUGAUAGAGGGUUAUCAGAUUCUACCCCGCGAGUACCCGAGGGGGAUACGGCUUGGAGAGCACAGUCACCAGUACCAAAUACCUCACCAGCAGCGCCGAGGGUAGAGGUUCGACAGGAGGCAGUGGUACCACCGCCAGUGCCUGUGACCGUGGCGGGGACAGUGUUACCGGAGAUGGUAGGGGCCGAGGAGCGAGAGCAGAUGAUGGAACGCCUAAAUGAAUUUCGUCGUUGCAAUCCCCGUAUCUUCGACUGCGAGAAAGCUGAUCACUGGGUGGUUGAGAAAUGGUUGAUGCGCAUGAAAAUGUUACUUUAUGAUACUUUUGUUGAGGAGUGCGACCGGGUCUGGUUCGCAACACACCAUCUGGAUGGCGAGGCUUACAGGUGGUGGUUGGAUAUCCGAGAGGAUCCCCGUACUGACUUGUCUGCGAUCACUUGGAAGAGGUUUAAGGAGUUGCUGUUGACGACCUACUUCCCACAGAGUGUAAAGAGACAGAUGGAGAGGGAUCUGAGAAAUCUGAGGCAGGGGGACAAGACAGUGGCUGAAUAUGAGCGAGAGUUUUCUCGAUUACUGCAUUGUGUCCCUUUUGUGGUUCGAGAUGAUGAGGAUAAGGCCCGUAUUUUUGAGGUGGGUUUGCGACCUGCGAUCUUCAGAUUGGUCCAGGCGUCAAACCUCUCCACUUACCGGGAUGUAGUGAACAGAGCAUUGAUCGUUGAGAAAGGGGCGGAGAUUAUGAAAGAAAAGGAAAUGAUGGAUCGAAGCAAAGAAAAGAGGCCUGGGGCUGAGAGUAGUGGGCAGCAGCCUUUCAGGAGACCGCUGAAGUACCCGAGAGGCCAGCCGAGUCAGUCGAGGGGGCGAGGUUCUUCUGCACCCCGUGGAGCACUCGAGCGUCGUCGGCCGCCACGUUGCGUGAUCUGUAGUAGACCCCACUUUCCACCGCAGUGUCCACAACGUGGGAGCAAGUGCUUUCUUUGUGGUCAGGAGGGCCACUUUCAUUCUGAGUGCCCGAGGGGUUCUUCACCAGCACUAUCAUCAGCAUCAGCACCUGCAUCCUCAACUACGAGUCAGGGGACUCCGUCAGCAUCGUAUCAGUCUAGACGACCACCUGGACAACGACAGUCUGAGAGUUCUCGACAGGGUUCGAGUGGGCGUAUGUAUGCCGCCCAGAUGGAGGAGGCCGCAGCAGCAGAGGAGGUCGUAGCAGGUAUUAUUAUGAUUCACGAUGUUCGUGUUCGUGCAUUAUUUGAUACUGGUGCUUCGCAUUCUUUUAUUGAUCGGCUGUUUGCCGAGUUGCAUAGCAUUCAAUUAGUACCCACUUUGCAUCCGGGACGAGUGAUCGUGCCCGACCAUACCCUGGAUAUUCGUGAGUAUUACCCUCGUUGCCCAGUUCGGGUAGGCGACUGGAUUAUGCCAGCGAACUUAUUAGUACUGCACAAACUAGGUGAGUUUGAUGUAGUAUUGGGUAUGAAUUGGUUGAUACAGUACUAUGCUACUAUAGAUUGCACGAACAGAACGGUAACCUUUCGGGAACCGGAUCAACAGGAAUUUGUAUACAGGGGAUGUCAGAGUUUAUUGUUCGCAACGACAAUUAGUUCUUCGCGAGCACGACAGUUGAUACGGAGGGGUUGCGUGGCCUAUUUGGCUAAUAUUUUUGUCAGUGACGGAGGAGUGGCCAGUAUUGAUAACAUCCCGGUAGUACGGGAGUUUCAUGAUGUGUUUCCAGCUGAGUUACUAGGUAUGCCGCCUGAUAGGGAGGUUGAGUUUGUGGUAGAUCUUGUUCCUGGGACUACCCCAAUCUCAAAAGCACCCUAUCGAAUGGCACCUGCGGAGUUGAAGGAGCUAAAGGCACAGUUACAGGAUAUUCUGGAUAAAGGUUUCAUUCGACCGAGUAUAUCACCUUGGGGAGCACCCGUGUUGUUUGUUAAGAAGAAAGAUGGAUCCUUUCGAUUGUGUAUCGAUUAUCGUGAAAUUAAUAAAGUCACAAUCAAGAAUAAGUAUCCGCUACCACGGAUUGAUGAUUUAUUUGACCAGCUCCAAGGAUCAAAAGUGUACUCCAAGAUUGAUUUGCAAUCUGGAUAUCAUCAGCUGAAGAUCAAACCUGAAGAUGUUUCUAAGAUUGCUUUCAGAACACGGUAUGGGCAUUAUGAAUUCACAGUUAUACCAUUUGAACUGACGAAUGCCCCAGCAGCUUUUAUGGAUUUAAUGAACCGUAUCUGCAAGCCUUAUUUGGACAGAUUUGUGGUAGUAUUCAUUGAUGAUAUUUUGAUCUAUUCUCGAAGCGACGAGGAGCAUGAAAACCAUUUGAGAUUGGUGUUGCAAGUCCUUCGGGAAAAGAAGUUGUUUGCAAAAUUAAAGAAAUGUGAAUUUUGGCUGCAAGAGGUGGCAUUUCUAGGACAUGUGAUUUCAGAAAUCGGGAUUGCUGUGGAUCCCAAGAAAAUUGAAGCAAUCAAGGAAUGGCCUAGACCGGCCAGUGAAGCCGAGAUUCGGAGUUUUCUCGGUUUAGCAGGAUACUACCGACGAUUUGUGGAGGGAUUUGCUAAAAUGUCUACUCCACUUACCCGACUUACACACAAAGGAGCUAAGUUUGUGUGGAAUGAAGUAUGUGAAAGAAGCUUUCAGGAGCUAAAGGAACGAUUGACUACCGCCCCGAUCUUGGCGCUACCUGUUACCGGAGUGGAUUAUGUGAUUUACAGCGACGCAUCACUGAAUGGAUUAGGGUGUGUUCUAAUGCAAAAUGGAAAGGUAAUUGCAUAUGCAGCUCGUCAGCUAAAAGAUUAUGAAAAGAACUACCCUACACACGAUCUAGAGUUAGCAGCUGUAGUUUUUGCUCUAAAGCUAUGGCAUUACUAUUUGUACGGCGAGCGGUGCGAGAUAUAUACAGAUCAUAAAAGCUUAAAGUAUCUGUUUACUCAGAAGGAACUAAACUUGAGACAACGCAGAUGGUUAGAGUUGCUCAAGGAUUAUGAUUUGACUAUUCUUUAUCACCCAGGGAAACCAAAUGUUGUAGUAGAUGCUUUAAAUAGAAAAUCGACGGAAAAUUUGGUAAUGUCGAUAACCUCGCAACCACCUUUGGUAAAGGAAAUGGAACAGUUGAAGUUGGAAGUUGUAGCUCCUGACACACCUUGGCGGCUUAUGUCCUUGAUUGUGCAACCUACUAUAAUUGAGAGAAUUAAAGAAGAGCAAGUACAAGAUGAAUUUCUUCAAAGGAUUCGCGCCAAGAUUACUGGUGAUUAUGUUGGUGAAUUUCAAGUAGAUAAACAAGGAUUAUUAAAAUUCUGCAAUAGACUUUGUGUACCCGCAGAUUCAAAACUUAAAGAGGAAAUUUUUACAGAAGCACAUCGGGCGCCCUAUGCUUUACAUCCGGGAAGUACAAAGAUGUAUAAGGAUUUGAAAUUGACUUAUUAGUGGCCUGGGAUGAAAAAGGAGGUUGCAGAAUUUGUAGCUAAUGUUUAACCUGUCAGCAGGUCAAGGCUGAACAUCAACUUCUUGCGGGAAAGCUUUAAGGUUUACCUAUACCAGUAUGGAAGUAGGAAAGGAUUACUAUGGAUUUCAUUGUAGGGUUGCCUCACUCGCAAGCGGAUCAUGAUGCGAUUUGGGUAAUUGUGGAUAGAUUAACCAAAUCUGCCCACUUCAUUUCGAUUCAUACAGUUUGGUCAGGAGAGAGACUCGCACAAGUGUACCUAGAUGAAAUUGUGCGAUUACAUGGGGUACCUGCUUCUAUUGUAUCAGAUCGAGACCCACGAUUUGUAUCACAUUUCUGGAGGAGCUUACAAGAGACUCUGGGUACCCGAUUGGUUUUUAGUACUGCUUUCUACCCUCAGAGUGACGGACAGACCGAGCGCACUAUUCAGACCCUCGAGGAUAUGUUGCGUGCGUGUGUGAUGGAUUUUCAAGGCGGUUGGCCAGAAUUUCUAUCUAUGGCAGAAUUUGCUUAUAACACUAGUUAUCAAGCAAGUAUUAAAAUGACACCGUUUGAAGCCCUCUAUGGAAGAAAAUGCAGAUCACCACUUCAUUGGAGUAAAGUAGGUCAGACGUUAACCUUGGGUCCUGAUGUCUUGCAGGAAGCCGAAUCUAAAGUUCGAUUUGUACGAGAAAGGUUGGUGACCGCACAAAGUCGACAGAAAAGUUAUGCUGAUAAACGUCGACGGGAAUUGGAAUUCCAAGUGGGAGAUCAUGUAUUUUUGAAAGUGUCGCCGACAAAAGGAGUGAAGAGGUUUGGUAUUCGAGGAAAUUUAAGGCCUCGAUUCAUUGGACCUUAUGAAGUAUUGGAGCGGAUCGGGCCAGUAGCGUAUCGGCUGGUAUUACCACCAAACCUAUCUAGCGUGCAUAAUGUGUUUCAUGUAUCUACACUGCAGAAGUAUAUAUUUGAUCCGACUCACAUUCUGGAAAGUACUCCAAUAGAACUACGGGAGGAUUUGAGCUUUGAAGAGCAACCUAUAAAAAUUCUAACUCGGGAAGUAAAACAACUCCGAAAUCGCGAGAUCCCUUAUGUAAAGGUGCUUUGGAGCAACCAUGAUGAACGUGAAGCAACCUGGGAAUUAGAAAAUGCGAUGCAGGAGCACUAUCCUCAUCUUUUCUAAAGAGUACUCGAGGUAAUGUUUCUCGUUUCGCGGACGAAACUCCUUUUUAGGAAGGGUGAAUGUAGUACACUGAACUUUGGCAAAUUGCAAAGUUCGAGUGGGGGAAGGCCAAUUGGAAUUAGCCGACAUCUUCUAAAGGGUUUAGAGAAGUUGGUGAACAGGUUUGAGAGUGAUCGGAGGGCGGGAAGCGAGAAAGUGCAUCGUUGUGGCUUUAUUUCACUAUUUUGCAUUGUUGUACCGGUACAAAUAUGUAUCUGUAUCGGUACAACAAGCAGCAGAGGCAGCAGCUGUGUGGCAGCAGGCCUAAUUUGGUCUUUUCUCUUCUCUAACUUAUCUAUAAGCCUCUAGCUCGACCCGUGCCCUUCAGAUAAGGUUGCUGGGACUCUGUACCAAGGAUUUACACCUCUCUUACUUUCUCUCUCUAGGAAGUGUUCUCUCUCUAAGUGGAAUCAAGGGUUUUGGUCUAUUUUCCUCUCCUCUUUUGAUGCUAAUUGCUUUGGGAGGUCAAGGAGCUAUUACAGAAGGUGAAGAAGGUGUCUUGGGGUGGAUUUCGCAGCUCCCUUGCAGCAGGUAGCUGAGGGAAAGGUUGCUAAGGUAACAACUUAAUUAAUUUAAGAUUUGAUGUGUUGGUGAUAGAGUUAGGUGUGAUUUUGAGUUCUUGUAACUAGCAGGAGUGGGGGAGAGAUUUUGGCAGCUCGGGAAGGGGGCUGUGACUGUGGAGGUUCAAUCCGAAGCUAGGGGAAGGUACUACCAAAGCUGCGAGAAGGUAAUUGAGUACUUAGACGCAUAAUUGGUGCGAUAGAAGUUAUAAGUAUGAAGUAUGAAUGCUGAUUUUGGGAGUUUGUGUUCUCAGCAGCUGGAAUCUUCACUUUAAACUGAGUAUUACAAUCUUAUGAGCUGAUUUGGAAUGUAAUUUAACCAGAGGGAAGUGAGAAUUCAGGUUAGGAAUCUAUGCAAGCUGAAUUUCAGCAUAUUUUAAGGAAUCGCAUAGGUGUACUAACACUGUUUGAGUAGUGUUCGCAGCAAGUUUGCCAAAGGCUAUCGGAUUGUUCUCGGCUAAUAUUUAGGAGCUUUUGGGGGUUAAGGUGAGUACCUUAACAUGAACCAAAGCAGGGGUUCAAGCUACAGUCGUGUGUAAGGUGAGAUGUUGCUGAAAUUAGAUGUGUUGGUAAUUGUUUCAAUACAGUUUUCUCACUAGUUCGCAGUAGGUGCGGAGAUCACUUUGGGCUAAACAUUGAGCCCUUUUUGGGCUGAAUUAAACUGAGUUUGGGAGUACUUCAACCUGAAUUAAGCAGAGGUUUAGUUUCAGUCUAAGCCUAGGUGAGGAUUUAGUCUAUUUUCUAUGAUUAUGUGAAGUUUUACCAUUGGUAUAGAAGUCAACUCUUAGCUGAUUUCGGAUUUGAUGUUAGGAAAAUUGAAGGCUUCGGAUUUCUUGCGAAAGUAAGUUUGACAAGGAUCGUCAAGUAAUAGGUGGAUCUAACCUUACCAGAGCAAGUGAAACCCCUAUGUUCUAUAUGAUACUAUAGAAUUACUUGGAUGUGUAAUUUUAUGAAUAAGUACUCAACAUCGGGUAUUGAAUGCUAUAAUCACAUUGGUUUAUUGAGUGAAUGGAACUUUUAUAAUGCGAAUAGAAGCAAGAGUAAUAGUAAUGAUACUUAGUCUAAAUAUCUGGACCUUACAUGACAUAGGUACAUAUGCAUUACUUCCAUAACUUGUUGAAUCCAGUGGAUAUAAGCCUUUUCACUAUGUUUAGAUUCCGACCUAUGGGUCGAGUAUGAGAACCUUACAUGUUAUGGUAUGAUUAUCUAAAACUGUUAGACUAUGGAUUAGGCUUACUUGCCAUUGUGCUCAUUCGCACAUGCUUGUGAGGGUCGCUCCCCACAAGCCAGCACUCCGGAGUUGGCCUACGCGACAGAUUGCUCGCCAUGUGGGAUUGGGUGCCGAAGUGGAUUGCCGUGGGGAGUGUAUACUAUUACGGGGCCAUUAGGCGCGGCGCAAGCUGGACUACCCCGUGUAGAUCCAUGUGACUUAAAUUAAACUACUAACUGACAGUAAUAAAGGGUCACCAUUAAUUGGUGUGCAGCACUCACUUACAUGACAUGUUUAUGCUUAUAGUACUCACAUUAUUUGCUUCUAAUUAGUUGAUACAUUGAGAUUAUAAUUACAUGUUCAUCGCUAAUUAUCAUUGUUAUAUCUAGCAUGCUAUAACUGUUUUUACUUUUCCUGUAGUACAUCAUGAGCCUAGUGGUAUAAUUCGCCGAGGCGGACGGCUUACCCACCGGAAAGUAUUGUUUAAUAGUUCUCACGUCCUCUUUGUUGUUGUUUUUACAGAGCCAUCCUCUACGGGAGAGGCUAGGGAUCGCUGCAAGGGAGUCGCGUCUAGCUAAACGUAGCGUGUAGUCCUGAUAGGUGAUCACCUCGCUAUUUUGAGUUGCUGACGAGGUUACCCAUACAUAGAGAGACUACCAUUGUAUUUAGUUCUUGUAAGGUGACAUGUGUGAUGUAUAUAGUGGUUUAGAGUGAUGUAUUUACAGCUUUUGGGUUUCUAUCUCUUGUUGAUUUGUCUGGGAUUUGUACUUAUUUUUCUCCUGUUAGUAGUACUAUUAGUUUAUAUGUUGCUCUGAUAUCACGUUAAAAUCUCUUUAUAAUUGUUCUUGUCCUAACAUGAUUUUAUAGACGUCUUAUAUACUACAGGUAUAUGACGGGUCUGUGCAUGUACCGGGUAUGCUUCAGCUGGUAUCCGGGCGUGNUAUAUAUAUAUAUAUAUAUAUAUAUAUAUAUAUAUAUAUAUAUAUAUAUAUAUACUUUGCUCUGAUAUCAGGUUAUAAUCUUCUUGUAAUUACUACUUUUCUGACAUGAUUUCUGUAGACGUCUUAUAUACUGCAGGUAUAUGAUGGGUCUGUGCAUGUACCGGGUAUGCUUCCGCUGGUACCCGAGCGUGACAAUUUCCCAUGCAUUUAUACUCACAACAUGCAAUAAGAAGCUCACAAGUAACCCUACUAUGCAAUAUGCUCAAUACAUACAUAUGCUCAAAUAUGACACUUUAGACAUAAAAGGAAUUUCGAGGUCUUCGGUAUGCACCACCCACCUUAGUUAGUUGUAGGGAUGCUACGGUUCAAUUCUUGAAAUUUUUGGGCUCCUAUUCCGUGUGUUGUGGCUAUCUGUACCCAAAAUAAGCCAAAUUAGGCUUUUUAUUCAAUAUCUCUACUUAGACCUUUUCGUUUCGCCGAACCGAGCGCUCCAACGCAUCGGAAAUAUCUCUAAUUAGGUUUUCACAAGGUCAAUUUGCCUCGCAAACGAUCGGAGGCAAAAGCCCCAAAUUUGGUGCCCUAAUGUUGCCAUUUGCUCCAACCUAGAUUUUGAUCUCUAGAACAAGCAAAAGAGAGCUUGUUGAACCUCUAGGAACUCUUUUAGAACCUUUUCUAAGCCUUUUAAACCAUUUCUAGGGCAUCUACUAUGAACCCUAGAUGAUCACUAUGAGAGCACAUAAAGCUACCAUGGAUUUUCAUAGAGUUCAUGCCUCAAGAGAGUUUCUACACUUGUAGAAGCUCCAAAACCAAAAGAUCUAGGGCUCAAAUCCAAACCCUAACCUUAUUCUCACAACAGACCUCACCUUAGCCACAAGCUCUCCAAUGUCCACCUUGUAGGAGAGUCCCCAAGCUUUCAAAAGUUCCAAGUCUCCCAAGUUUUUCUUUCAAAUCCCCUCCUCCACCACCUUGAAAGAGAGUUCUAGAGAGAGAAAGGGAGAAAAUGAGGGAGAGAGGUGUGUUGGCUGUGAAAGAGAGAGGGGAGGAGUGUUUGGGGUAUUAUUAUGUUGUAACAAUUACAAUAAAACCCUCCCUUUUCUCUAAUUUGCAGCAGACCUCAAGUUGCUGCCAGACCGAAAGUGUACCGGUACAGGGUAGGGUGUUACCGGUUACAUGAUCGCGCAGAGGCAAAUCCGAGAGCUGCUGUUCGGAUUUUUACAAAGUGUACCGGUAAACAUCUGGGCUGUACCGGUACACUUCUGCGCAGAACCAAACUCGAGAGCUCUCCCUCUUGGUCAGCAAUGUUGUACCGGUACAACAUCGAUGUUGUACUGGUACACUUUGCCCAGACUGCAAUUUUUUGCAUCUUUUUGAUUCUAUUUCGCGCCGAUCGAUGCUAAAACCUUUCUAACCUUUUUGGAACUCAUUUUUAACCCUUCCAACAUUUGUUGGAAUAUUAAUUGGAAAUUGCCCAACUAAUCCUUUCGCACACUUUAGUCAAUUUGGCUAAAAUUCGAUAUUUUCUACCGAAGUUUCGGUACGUUACAUCAUGCCUCUACGAUGUUUCUAAUCUUGCAAGAAGCUCAAAACUCUAAAACUUAGGGUAGAAAUCCAAACCCUAGAACCAAUCUUACAUAACAACUCACCUUAGCCCAAUGCACUCCCAAGUCCACCUUGUAGGAGAGCUUCUAGAUCUUCCAAUCCUCCAAAUCCUCCUCCAAAACCUUCUCCUCCUUCUCCUGCUAGCUUUUGAAGAUGAUCUCUAGAGAGAGAAAGAGGGAAAUGAGAGAGAGAGGGGAUUUGCUGUGUAAAACAGGUGGGAGGGGUGUGUUUGGUCAUUUAUAGGUUGCAACAAUAGCAACCAAGCCCCCUAAAAAUCCAUAAUUGCAGCAGACCCAUUUUUGCUACGGGGCCCAAAGUGUACCGGUACACGUGUCCCUGUCACCGGUACAUUUUCUGCGCAGAGGCAAACCCGAGAGCAACUCUCUGCGGGUUCGCAGCAUUUGUACCGGUACAAACCAAUUUGUACCGGUACAAAUCCGGCCUUUCUCAAACCCAAGAGCUUUUUCCCCUCGGUCAGCACUAUUGUACCGGUACAACCCUGUAUCUGUACCGGUACAAAACAAGGAUUAAAGUGCCGCCCGUGCCGUACGGCACGGGGGCGUGCUGUACCGUGCCCCCAAGAAGGGGGCACGGUACAGGGGGGGUCUCGGACCCCUUCUCUGUCUCGCGGCACGCACCUGUGUGCCGCUCGAGACAAAGCACGGUAUAGGGGGGGGUCUCGAGCAAAUUUUUAAUUGACAUAGGCGAUCCAUACCUGUCGGCCCGAGCACCUGUUGGCCCGAGCCCUCCGCUUCCACCACAGACAUCUAUUUUUUCUUCACAAAAUAUUUUAUCAAAAUUUGUCGCACCACGAAACUUUCGAUGAAUCAAAGAAACAAAAAUCGAUUUCCUAAACAAAUUUUGAUCAGAUAUUUUUAAAAAGAAUAAAAAAACAAAAAAUAUAGAUGUAAUAUUGGGAAUAUAUGAAUUUCUCACAAUACCAGCAAUACUUAUAUCAAUAUUGUCAAAUAAAUCUUGUAUUUGCAGAUAACAAUAUGCCAUAUGAUCCAGCGCGACGAUCUAUGUGAAAUUAAGCAGUCAUCUCUAUGUAAAUAUGUAAAUUUAAAUAAUUAUUGUACUGUGAAUUUUAUUAUUAUAUUUUAAUUUCUAUUCUACAUCAGGUAUAGUUGUAUUUUACUUACAAAAAGCUUUCAUGCAUGUUAAUUGAUGAGUAUAGUAAGAUAUACAUAGUAAAUAUUUAUAUUAUUUUGUUUAAAUCUUUCAAAAUAAUAUUAUAAGAGUUUAUUGGAACCAAAAAAGCUAAAAUAAGUCCGUGCCAAAGCGUGCCAGUAGGAGGUCAUGCGUAUCUGUCGGCACGCAAGCGUGCCACGUGUCGGCACGCAAGCGUGCCCGUGCCGUACCGUACCGUGCCAGGGACGUAACGGCACGCCCCCAUUCCACAGCACUUUAAACCUUGGUACAAAAUGUGCAGACUUCUGUUCUUCGCGUUGUUUCGAGUCUACUCCGCACCGAACAACGCUAAAACCCUUCUAACUCUUCUAAACUCAUUACUAACCUUUCCAACAAGGUUGGAAUGCUAAUUGGAACUUAUUCAAUUACUUCUCUUGGAUGCUUUAGUCAAUUUGGCUAAAGCCCAAUAUCCUCUACCGAGGUUUCGAUAUAUUACAAUUUGUGACCUCUUGAUCGUAAGGUAAAUGAUGUCGAAAAAUUAUAAAAUUUGAUUUCGAGAAGUUUUAAAUGCUGUAAAUAACGUUUAACGGUAUGGAUCGUCGAUUCAGAAGUUCUAUCAUUGAAAAAAUUUGAAAUUUGGUUUCUAGAUACUUCAAGUGGUAUAGAUCAUGUUCAAGGGUGCUGAUCGUCGAUUUGGAGGCUCUAUCAUCGAAAACAGAUGGGUGGCAACGGAGUCCGUUUGCUAUCGAUAGCAUUCCACCUCAACUCUCUCUCUCUCUCUCUCUCUCUCUAUAUAUAUAUAUAUAUAUAUAUAUAUAUAUAUAUAUAUAGGCUGGAAUACUAUUAAUAGUACCAAUGACUUGAUGCUAUUAAGUUUUUCGCCCUUGGAUUAAAUGAUGUAUGGUUAGGAUGAUGUGGACCCCCUAAGGUUGAGUGGGUGGUUGGUUGAAUAGUAUAAUCGAACGGAUGAAAAUGAUAAAAGAGGUAAAUCUAACGGCAGAAAAUUUGAUAGCACCAAAUGCUUCGUGCUAUCGAUAGUAUCCCAGCCGGACUAUAUAUAUAUAUAGAGUCCGGCUAUGGUGCUUGUAAAAGCACCAAGCACUUGGUGCUUGUAAAUUUUUUACCAUUAGAUUUACCCUUUGAUCAUUUCUCAUAACGUUAGAUUAUAUUCUUCAUCAAUCCGACCCACCUCAACACAGUGGGGCCCACAUCAUCCCACAUCAUCACUAACAGCACAUCUUCCUUAAUCCAAGGCCGAAAAAAUACAAACACCUAAUGACUUGUACUUUAAAACAUAGAGAGCUCAAUUCUCUAUAUAUAAUAUUAAUAAGAAUAGGAAUUCUUCUCUAUAAUAAUCUAUAGAUAGAGAGAGAAUUCCUCAAUUCUAUAUAUAUAUAAUAGAGGAAUUGAGCUCCUAUAUGCUUUAAAAAAGUACCAAUUCAUUGGUGCUUUAAGUUUUCGGCCCUUGCAUUAAGGAAUGUCGGUUAGGAUGAUGGCCCCCUAGGUUGAGUGGGUGGUGGUUGAAUAGUAUAACCUAACGGAAAAAAUUGAUCAAAGGCAGAGAUCUAACAGUAAAAAAUAACAACACAAGUGCUUGGUGGCUUUUAUAAGCACAUCAGAACCAAUAUAGAGUCCUGCUGGGAUACAUUGAUAGCACUAAAGAAUUAGUGCUAUCGAGUUUUCCACCGUUAGAUUAACCCUUUGAUUAUUUUUAACCCGUUAAUUAUACUAUUCAACAACAUUACUCAACCCUAGGGGCCCACAUAUCCUAACCGCACAUUUUCUCAAUCCAAGAUUAAAAACUAAUACACAAUAGUUUGGCCUAUUGAUAGUAUUCAGGCCUAGUUCUAACGGUGGAAAACUCGAUAGCACCAGUCCUGGUGCUAUCGAUAGUAUCCUAGUCGGACUCUCUCUCUCUCUCUCCUCUCUCCUCUCUCUCUCUCUCUCUCUCUCUAUAUAUAUAUAUAUAUAUAUAUAUAUAUAUAUAUAUAUAUAUCAAUUCGGGUUUGAGUUUGGUAUAGUUAAAAUUCAUAAAUGAAUCCAAAUUUGUCAUAUUUUUUAUUUUUUAUAUUCAUAUCCGAAACUAUAUCUGUCCGAAACUAUAUCUGUUUAGUAUCAGAUAAAUCUGUUUCGUUUGGGUUCGGAUUUGGAUAAAAUUUCAGGUAUCCAUACCCAUGGACAUUUCCACUACUAUUUAAGAGAGAAAGGACACUGUUAAAUACAUGCUCUCUUAUUGGACAGUUUGAAGAGAGAAAUCUGUUAGUUAAAAAUAUGCUUAUCUCUGGUCCAUUAAAUCUACAGUUAUAAAUAUGCAUAUUUAUGAUGCAUGAUAUCAAAGAUAUGCAUAUCUAUAUCUUUGGAUAUCUCGAAUUAAUAAUUUUAAAUUAAAGUUGUGAAUUGCAAUGAUCUUCUGUAUAUAAAGGGGUUGGGGGGGUUAAGGGUGAGUGCCAUAGGAGUGAUCUCUUCUUUAUGGCUUCCAAACGGUCAUAUGAACUUUGUUUUCUGUUGCUUUGCCUUCACGCGACUUGUGAAAAACUCAACGGAAGGGAGAUAAUCAAUCAGAAAGGGGGAGAAUGGGAGCGGCUAAAUCGUCUCAUGGACCCUCCAAUCCACAAUACUCAAGUGCUUGAAUACUUAUUGCUUCCAAUGCUUUACAGUUUUUAUGAAACCGUUUAAUUUCGCAUCAUUUUCGAUAAUUAGACAUUCGAAUGAUGAUUUGCAUCAUGUACAUAUGAUUUAGGAUAUAUACUGUUUUCUUAGAAAAAUUAGAAUCAGUUGAAUUUUGGAUAAAAAAAAUCUAUCUAUGAUUUAGAUCAAGAUUUUUAUUGUCGAUCUUGAGUUUAAAAACCGGAUCCUUUAUUUUUAGUAGGUUGCUUUGAUUUGAUUGUUCAUUUUAUAACUGCUCGACAGACUUCAUUACAUAGACUCCGGCUUGUAUAUUUUUCAUAGCAUGAAGGUCUCCAUGCUAAUAAGUUAUUUUAGUGAUAAGACCUCCAAAUUGACAAUCAGCUGCGUGGGACACGAUCUAUCUUAUUGAAAGUAUUUGAAAGUCAAAUUUUAUAUUUUUUUUAACAUGCACCAUUUGACUAGUGAUCAAAAGGACUGAACUUUCUAUCAAAAAGAAUUUUAGUUGUUCAUCCAAGAAUUUUCUAUAAAAAUGAAUUUCAAUCGAUAGUUUUUGAAGACUUAUACGAGCCGUUUUCUUAUUUAAUAAUGUAGAACAAUUCAAACCGCUCAAAUUUUUCGAUCCUUUGAUCACUACAUAAAUAAUUUUUAAAAAUUAUAAAAUUUGGUUUCUAAAUACUUUAAAUACUCUAAAUAAUUUUAAUUGUUCCAAUCAUCGAUUCAAAAUCCCUAAAAAAUAACUUGAUUGGAUAAAGGACUCCAUAAUCCUAAAAGGAUAGUAGCUAGAUUUACAUAUACAUAUAUAUACAGAGUACGUCUCCUAUGCUUUCGAAAGCAUGAAGGCUUUCGUACUUGUAAGUUAUUUUUUAUGAUAGAAUAUUCGAUUCGAUGAUCAACUCUGUUAACCAUAAUCUACGUUAUUGGAACUAUCUAAAAAUUAAUUUUCAUAAUUUUUUGACAUUAUUUACUAAGUGAUCAAAAAGUCUAAAAAAUGACUAUUUUAACGAUCGAUGUAGCACGUUUUAAAGUUUAACAGUGUAAAACAAUCCAAAUUAUAUGAAACUUUAAUAAAAAAAUUUACUUAACAUUAAAGCAAGAUUAAUACUUCUGAUUUAAAAUUUAAGUCUUUUAUCACUAUUUUUUUAUGAGAUUUUCAUUUUCAGUUAUUCAUUUUAAGGCUAUUCGUUCACUAGGCAAUAAAGUCAAAAAAUUAUGAAAUUUGAUUUCUAAAUAGUUCAAUAACGUACGUAAAUCAUGUUUAACGGAACCAAUCACUGAAUAGGAUGUUUCAUUAUCGAAAAAAACUUAUAAGUACGGAGGCCUUCAUUAUUUCGAAAGUAUAGAAGCCUACUUCUCUCCUCUCUCUCUCUCUCUCUCUAUAUAUAUAUAUAUAGUUUGGCAACUAUACUCUUAUUAGCAUAAAGAGAUCUAUAUUUAUAAGAGUAUAGUAGCCCUAGUAUAUAUAUAUAUAUAUAUAUAUAUAUAUAUAUAUAUAUAUAUACAUANCUUUCUAAAGUUUUGUGCCUUAAAUUUCGUUGAAAAUAAUGUCCUUUAUAUCUAUUUCUUGCCUAACAUAAUCUAAUAUUUAUUUUAUGUGAUAAUACUUGCAUCAUAAGUGCGCAUCAUAUGCAUGCAGUACCUACCAUAAGCAAGUAAAGCAAUAAUUUAAUUUUUGUUUGCUUACAUUUCUACUGUUUAGAAAUAUAACUCAAAUUACAACAAGUAGCCACAUUAUAAACGUCUUUUCAUUAUGUGUUUCAAAAUAUUUUCUUGCCAUUUAAUGUAUAUAUAUAAUAUAUAUAUGCAUUUGUUUUUUUCUUGUUAAUUAUGAUAAAGACUAUCAUAUAUAUAAUUAAGAAAAAAAUAAUCUAAUUGUACAUCCUAAAAAUUUUAGGUUGUAAAUUUUUUCCCUCCGUCUUGACGUUCACAAACCCUUUUAGAUUUUUAAUAUUUACACUGGAACAAAUAUUGGCUGUUGCAUCAAAAGGUAUAAAAUUUGUACUCUUUUGGAGUCUGCAGGUAGCACUGCUCUAUAAUUAAGUCCUUUCUUAAUUAUGAGAAGACUACUGAAAGAAUACCUAACUAAUUUAUAUUUACAGUUUGGAGGCAGUCUGAAAGAAGUAGAUUCAGAUGAAAAACAUCAUUCCAAUGAGUCGGAAAGUAGUAAUCGAUCUGUACAUUUGAGAGAAGAGCCAAUUGCGCCUGAUCCGCCAGACUAUAUUCGUCAUGUAAUCAUUUUAAAAUUUUUCAUAGCUUAUAACAUUAAGAAGUUAAAAAAUGUGACACCCAAGUUCUAUACCGGAUGAGAAGGGAGUUGCAAUUGGAUAUAUAAGAGGCUAUGAAUUCUAAUAAUACUACGUAGGUUCAAAAAAUUUAGGCAGGUGGUUUAAACAUAACGAGUUAUUAUUUCUAGUGGGCUGAAUCAUUAUAAAAAAACUAUAAUUAUUUUGAAUUAAUUGCUUUAUUGUUUCUUUCUAUUAUGCAAUUUCAAGAUAUGAUUAUGAUUUUUGUACUAUUUAAUAAGCCGACCCACUAAUAAUAAUAACUUGUUAGAACCAAACCAACAGUCCAAAAUGCUUAAACUCAGUUAUAAUUAUUAUUAGGGUCUUUGUUCCUUAUGUAUUCAAGAAUAAUCCCUUUUUCCAUCAGAUUUGGAACUAUGAAAGCAAUACAACCACCACUCUUUUUCUCUCUCUCUCUCUCUCUCUCUAUAUAUAUAUAGGCUAGGGCUACUAUAUAUACUCUUAUUAAUAUAGACCCUUUGUACCCAUAAGUUUUCGACAGUUGGAUAAAGGAUGUGUGGUUGUGAUAAUAGUGGUUUCUAGUUAGGAUGAUAGUGGUCCCCUAGGGUUGAGUGGGUGGUUGGUUGCAUAGUAUGAUCUAAUUGGUGGAAAUGAUCAAAGGAAUAGAUCUAACGGCCGAAAAUUUAUAAGUANAUAUAUAUAUAUAUAGUGUAGGGCUAUUAUACUCUUAUAAAUAUAAAGCCCUUCGUACUUACAAGUUGUUUUCAAUAAUGAACCUUCCGAAUCGACGAUCCACUCUAUUAAAUAUGAUCUAAAGUAUUUAAAACUUCUAAAAAAUAAAUUUCGUAAUUUUUCGAAAUCAUAAUAAAGUCCAUCAAGCGGAUAUAAAAUGAACGGUCAAAAUCGAACGACGUCCUAAACAUGGAUGAUCGGAUCCUUCAAUUUAUGAUCAAAGUUAUUGAUCUUUAUCUAGAUAGUGAAUAAAAUUUUUUAUUAAAAGUUCAACCAAUUCUGAUUCUUUUACACUGUUGAACUAACAAAUAUCCCAUACCAGCCGUUAAGAAUUGUCAUUUUGAGAUCUUUUGAUCGCAUGGUAAAUGAUGUCAAAAAAUUCUAAAAAUUUAUUUUUAGAAGUUUUAAAUGCUUUAAAUAAUGUUUAACAGUAUGAAUCAUCGAUUCGGAAGCUCUAUCAUCAAAAAUGACUUAUGAGUACGAAGGCAAUUGUACUUAUAAAAGUAUAGUAACUGGACUCAUAUAUAUAUAUAUAUAUAUAAUUAGGCUACUAUACUAUCUAUAGUACCGGAGCUCCGGUACUAUAGUGUUGUUUUCGAUCUUAGGGCGUUCAAAUCAACGAUCCACACCGUUAAAUAUGAUCUAGGGUAAAUGAAGUUCUUAGGAAUAAAAUUUUAGUUUUUUUCGACAUCGUUUACUUAGUAAAUAAAUUAUGUAAAACUGGACCCGUGGAAAUAUGAAUACUAUUUAAAAUUUGACAUAAGACUUUUAAAUCACAAGAUCAAGAAAUGUUAACCUUAAUCAUAUAGUAUUAACAGUAUUUUCUAUCAAAAAUUUGAAAAAUUUAGAUCCUUCUACACUGUUAAACUCCAAACUCAGUCACUAAUAACCAUUGAAAAUGACAAUUUUUGAAAUUGUUUGGAUCUAAAGUAAACUAUGUCGAAAAAUUUAAUUUUAUUUUAACUUAAAAUCCUAGAUCAGUUUUAACGGUGUGGAUCGCUUGAUUUAAGCUCCGAAGUCAACGGAACUAUGUACGGAGCUCCGGGUACUAUAGCACUUUGUAUAAGUACCUAGCUCGUAUAAUUAUAUUUAUAUAUACUAUAGGUCGGCUACAUAUCCUAUUAAUGGAUAGGAAGCACUUGUCCCUUCAAGUCGUUUUGGAAUGAUUGGAAACUCAAAUUGAUAAUCCGCACGUUGAAAUUGAUCUACAACAAUUAGAAAUGUUUAGAAACCAAAUUUCUGUUAAUAUUGAAAAUUCAAUCAAGUUCAUCUUUAAGAGUUAAAAAAAUGAACCGGUCAUAAAUGACAUAACUUCUUAAAAUAGAGGUUAACUUUUCUAAUUCAUAAAUCAGAGUUAUCAAACAUUUAUCUAAAUAGUAUCUAAAGAAUUUCUAUCAAAAAAUUAAGGCAUUGGGAGUUGCUCUACACCGUCUAAACAAGCAAACGUCCUCAUAAAGGCCGUCAAAACAAUCUGUCAAUUUUUACGACCACUUGGAAUCACCAUGUAAAUAAUUUUUAAAAUUUAUGAAAUUAGUUUCUAGAUAUUUCAAAUACUCGUAGACUCAACGUUCAACGGCUGAUCAUCGAUUCGAGUUUUUCUACUCAGUCAAGAACAUUUUGAUGAUAGGACAAGUGCUUACUAUCCUAUUAAUAGGAUUAGUAGCCCUAGGCAUAUAUAUAUCAUAUCAUAUAUAUAUAUAUAUAUAUAGUAUAUAUUAUAUCUCUAUAAAGUAUAGUAUUAUUUGGUAGUGUGCUAAAGAUAUUUUAGAAGUAAUUUCAGCCUCUUUACUUCAGGUUUGGUAACUCUUUGGAUAAAGAUUGUUGUUUCGGCGGUGAAAAGUGGUCUCUCAGAGUUUAGUGAUGGUUGGUGCGAUAGUAUUAAGGUCAAAGGUUAGCAGUGACAAAUGGUGAUCCAAAGGUGAAAAAGCUUAGAAAUGAAACUGGAGAUAAUGCUACCAGAGCCCCAAAACAUUACUAGCUUAUAUAUAUAGUAUAGAGAGUGUUCAGUGUAGAAUAUUAACAGUAACAUAUUUUAACUUUUUCACCCUUUGGGAAUCAUUACUCUUACCUCCAAACGCCCAUCAGAUUCUAGGCAUCCAAUGGUCACAAAGUGGAUUAAUAUCCCAUACUAUUAAUAGCAUUUCAACACAACUCAUGUAUACUACUAUAGAGUCCGGCUACUAUUUCUUAUGAGUAUAGAUUCUUUGCACUUUCAUUAAGUUAUUCUGCCGUUAGAUCUAUCAAUUUGACCAUUUCCACCCAUUUAGAUAUAUAUAUUAACUAUUCAACUAAUACCCACUUCAUUAUGGGAAGCACUAUCGUCUUUCACUUGGCAACUACUAUUAUCUUAACUUCACAUUCCUUUAUCCACAUGGCCGAAACUUCAUAAAUGAAUAUAAAAGGGCUAUACUUAUAAACAAUAUUUAGCUGCUAUAUAGUACUAUAUAAUUAUAAUAUAAUUAUAGGUAUAUAUAUAUCAAUAUAAUAUAUAUAGUUCCGGCUAUUAUGCUAUUAAUAGCACGAAGCACUUGGUGCUACCAAAUUUUUCGCCGUUAGAUCUACCCUUUUGAUCAUUUUCACCCGUUAGAUCAUACUAUUCAACCAACCACCCACUCAACCCUAAGGGGCCCACAUCAUCCUAACCGUAUAUCUCUUAAUCCAAGGGCCAAAAACUUGAUAGCACCAAUGACUUGGUGCUAUUAAUAGCAUAGUAGCCUAGUUCUAUAUAUAUAUAUAUAUAUAUAUAUAUAUAUAUAUAGUUGAGCUAAAAUACUAUCGGUAGUAAACGAGCCGUUUCACUACCGAUUUGUUUUAGAAGUACCAACUCCUUGGUGCUUCUAGGUUUCUAACCCUUGGAUCUACUCCUUGAUUACUAAUAGCCUUUGGAUCAAAUACUAUUCCAUCUAUCACCACCUACCACCAUCAUUCCAACCCUAUAUCACUCCAUCCAAGGGCUACAAACCCAAAAGCACCAACACCUUGGUGCUUUUGGGAGUAUUUUAGCUCAACUAGAAGCAUAUAUACUUCUAACUUUAAAACCUUUGGAUCUCUAGAGUUUACUAGUUAGUGGCGAUAAUAGUAUAAGUUCAAGGGCCUAAAAGUUGGAAAUUGGUGCUUCCAAACGUAUAGUAGCUUUAUUAAUUUAUUUUGCCAAGUUCUAUACAGUAUUAUUGAUAAAUACAAGUGUAAUUUUAUUUAUUUAAUUUUUUUUUUGUAGUGGGCUUAUUAUUACGCAAAACCAGGCAAAUAUUAUGGUACAAGAGCAAAGAUAAAUCUAUGGGGCCACCCAAAUUUAAAAUAUUAUCAGAGAAGCACGACUACAAUGUGGGUUAUGAAUUUUAAUGGAAAAGCUAAUGUCAUAGAGGCAGGAUUUCAUGUAAGUAGUAAAAAUACUUCCAUGCAUAUAAAGUAACCUUCUAUUGCUCUCUAAUAAGCUCUCCAAAUGUUUUUUUUUCUUUUUUGAGAGAUAGGUAGCAUGCUAUCCGCUUCGUUUAUUUCAUUUAGAAAUAAACUUAGCUAGAAAUAUGAAUAAACUAGGAUUCAAACUUGGAUCUCGGAUACUAACCACCAAGCCCUUUGCCAUUUGCUAUAGGGACGGUCGGUAGCUCUCCAAAUGUUAAGUUGAAAUGAACAUGUGGUCCUCAACAUUGAAAAUACUUAAAUGAAAGACAAAUAUGAAAAGCGUCUUGUAAAUAUUCUGAGCUAAAAAUCUCUAUUUAUCGAAUCAAAGAUUAGAGAAACUUCAAUUUGGCCCCACCUCCUGUGCUUUAGUUCAUUUCCACUUUACUAUUUUAUUAUUUUAUUUUCACUUAUUACCAUAUGAUUCAAAAAGUUGUACUUAAAUACCUUGUGAUUUAGCUCAUUUUCAUUUUGCCGUGGUUGUUAAAAGAUUUUACAUAUUUUGUAUCUUAUUUUAUAGUAGAUUGUUUCGAUAAAAAUAAAGGUUUUUAUAGGAUCCUUAAGUGCAAACUCGUGAAUCACAGGGGGCAAAGUAAAAUGGGCUAAACUACAAUGGGCAAAUUGAUUUUACCCUAAGGUCAUAACUUUUGCAAUUUGCCCUCUUCAAUCAGUCUACCAAUUUUAAAUUAAUUUCUUAAAAACUAAACAAAAAUUAUUUAUUAAAUAAAAAGUUCCACAUUUUAUAAAAAGGGUAUGUUAAAAUAAAAAUAUUUUACUAUGGGACUUCUGUGCUUUUAAAAGUAUAUGAAUUUUUUAUAACUUUUUAACCAUUAGAUGUCUAAGAUUUAGUGGCAGCAAUAGUAAUAAAUCUAAUGGAUUUAUAAAAAGUUGAAGACGUCCACUAAUCAGGUACUUUUGAAUACACACAAUCUAAACUCAAUAUUUUAAGAAAGAAAAAAACUAAAAAUAAUUGAAAAAAAUAAUAAACGGUCCAUUGUGGCACUGCCCUACCAGAUGUUCCCCAAGCUAUGUGGUCCAAUGGGCUGGAUCCAAAUAUGUGUCAUGCCAUGCCGUGCCGUGCCGUGCCAGCCCGGUGCACAGUGCGCAUUGCAACCGUAGAUUGUUGGCGUAGGAUGGCGGUGCAGGUGGCAUUGGUUGGUAUAGAAAAGGAAAAACAAAACUUGUAGGUGGGCUUUUGGUUUUCUUUUUUUUUAUUCACUAAUAUUAAAAUUCUUUGCAGAUACAUCUAAUAAAUUAAGGGUAUAAAAGAAGGGAUUUUCUUUUAAAUAACAAGAGGACAAAGUGUAGAUUAUGCUAUUCACAUGGGUCUCAUUUUAAAUUCACUGAGUUUUUUCAGUUGUGAAUGAGUUCUGCUAGCUAGGUUUAUAACCAAAACAUAUUGCAUUUCUACAAACUAUCUCAUUUAAAAUCAAAUUUUAUAUACAAAUUGUAACCCUAGAAUCCUAAGUUAGAGGGAUUGUAGAGAUUGCAACUCCCUUUUUAAUUGUAAACUUCGCAUUUCUCUUCGCAAAGACUUACAUACCUUUGUUUUUCUUGAAACUAGUAUUAUUUCUAAUGAGAUGAAACUUUUCAAAUAUUUUUGCACAACAGGUAUAUCCCAGAUUAUAUAAUGACAGUAAGCUGCAUUUCUUCACAUAUUGGACUGUAAGUAUGAAUUUAUUUGUUAUUAGGCUAAAGAGCAUCAAUACUCCUCAAACUAUAAGGUGGGUGGUACUUCAGUUUACAAAUUUCAAUUUAUUCGCAUUUCUAUUUCAGACAUUUAUUAUUUAGCAGUAGUGCAUGAUAUUCACAUUAUUAGGAUCAGUGCAUCAUUAAGUGGCAUCCUACUUCGCAGCACAUCAACUCUAUGUCAUCGGAAAAACAAUUCUAUACAUAUUUGUUAGUGUUGUAACAUUUUAUAAUUAAUUAUCAAAAUUUAAUUUUUUAACAUAUGAGUUCAUGGUUAGUGAAGCUACAACUUCACUUUACUUGCAUUCAAUGUAAACUUUUAUAACCUAUAUAUUACCUACAUCAAAUGAGAUUAACGUUAGUAUAUUUACUUUUGUAAACUCUUAAGCCUUAACCUACAGCUUAAGCUUACACUAAAUGUUAUAUAAACUAUAUGGGUUUAAUACUCUCAUAACUUAUAGCUUGUGUAGCCUAUAUAGAGAGGGCUUCUCUAUUCACUUAAAAACAACUCAAGGACAACGAAAAGAAAAAUAAAAAGCUACUUCUAUUAUUGUCACACCCCAAUAAUCCCAUAUCGGAUAUGAAUGGAGAUGUGAUUGGGUAUAUAAGAGACUUAGACACUAAUAAUAAUAACUGAACUUAAGCAUUUUGGGCCAGUAUUUGAGCCUAACGAGUUAUUAUUGCUAGUGGCUAGGUCGUUACAUUUGUAUCAGAGCCAAUCACCGGUCGAAAAUGUGUGGCGAGUCUCGGCUGAGUCAGGGUCUGAAAGACAAGGUGAUAGACUAUGCCGAAAUUUGAAUGAUAAGGUGACCGGCUAUGCCAGGGUCUGGAUGACAAGGCUAGCGAGGCGAGUCUCACAUCGCUUGCUGAUCUUGGAGACGAGUCUCAUAUCGCCUGGUGAUCUUGGGUUGUGUAUGUGAUUGGACUAACGAGGACGUCAGGGCCUUAAUGGGAGGAGUCUGUCACACCCCAAUAAUCCCACAUCGGAUAUGAAGGGGAUGUGAUUGAGUAUAUAUAAGAGACUUAGACACUAAUAAUAAUAACUGGGCUUAAGCAUUUUGGGCCAAUGUUUGGGCCCAACGAAUUAGUUUUACUAGUGGGCUGGGUCGUUACAAUUAUACUUAUGAAAAAAAGAAGGUCAAAGAAUUAAAGGUGCUCUCUUGGUGGAGCUUUGGGCUCAUUUACUUGUGCAGAGUUGGUGAAGCCACACAACGAGAGUCGAGCCGUUGUAUCCUGGAGGGGACAAGCCAGUGUUCUGCUGCAUCAGUUUAAAGGCUUUGCCAACCGUAGAGGGCUUGAAUCUCCUUAAAGAGAGCGAGGUUUUCGUCGAUAUUUUUUAUAUUAUUUUGUAGCUAACCUCUAUUUUUUAAAUAUAUACACCAAUAAUUUUAAGGAGAUUUAAAGAUGGAGGCUACACGCGAAAAAUUCAACCAUACUGCCAGAGAUCUCAACAAGCCCUUCUACUUUAAUGGAAGCAACUUUAAGAGAUGGAAAAGAAAAGUGUUAUUAUAUCUCAAUCUACUUAAAAUUGCAAAUGUCCUCACGGAGAAGAAUCCAAAAAAACUAAUACUGAUGAUAUGAAUGAAGACGAACUUCUCGAACACUACAAGAAAACUGAAAAAUACAAGAAGGAUGAGUAUAACUAUUAGUAUUAUCUUCUCAACUGCCUUUCAGAUCAGUUUUAUGAUUAUUAUAAAAAUACUAACUCCUCCACAAAGAAGAUUUGGAUGGUAUUGUAGCUUCAGUAUGAUACAGAGCAAGCUGGUGCAAAGAAGUGCAUCGCUAGCCGCUUCUUUCGCUACCAAAUGUUGAAGGAAAGUCCGUGGUGGAACAAGUUCAAGACGUUCAGAUGAUCGCCCUCGGAGAUAACUUGAUUGUAUUAGAAAUCAUUGAUAAGUUACCACCAUCAUGGAGAGAAUUCCAAAAAACCCUUUGACAUAAGCAAAGGAAGAAGUCUCUCGAGACAUUAAUUGCACGCAUUCGCGUGGAAGAGGAGGCAAGAGGCCAAGAUGCACUUGAAGCAAAAGAGAAUGAUACUAUCACCACUAAGGUAAACUUAGUAUCUUCUAAUUCUUUACCUAAUAACAAUCGUUGUAGAAAUACAUACUUGAAGCCUAAGAAGAAAAUUGGAAAGAAUAGUAGUAGACCUCAACACAAGCAAAAUAACCAACGACCUUCUUCUCAUAUGAAAAAUAUAGUUUGCUAUGUCUAUGGCGAAAGUGGCCAUAUUGCUCAAAUUUGCAAAGUUCAGAAACAUAAAGUUUUAUCUCAAGCUAAUGUUACUGAUGAGCCACAUGUGGUGAUGAUAAUAGACAUAUGUUUAGUGGAGAAUGCUGAAGGAUUGUGAGCAGACUCUGGUGCCAACAAACAUGUCUGUUAUGAUGAAGCUUGGUUUAAAACAUAUAUUUUCUAUAAACAACAAAGAAGUAUUAUGUUUGGUGAUUCACAUACUUCUGAAGUUUUAGGGUGUGGUGAUGUUGAGUUAAAAUUUUCUUCUAGAAGGAUACUUAUCGUGAAAAUGUGUUAUAUACACCCUCGAUUAGGAAGAACUUGAUGUCAAGUUUUCUUCUUAAUAAAAUUGGCUUCAAACAGACCAUUGAAUCUGAUCAGUAUGUGAUUUCCAAAAAUGAAAAGUUUGUAGUUAAAGAUUAUGCAUGUGACGGAAUGUUUAAACUAAACAUUGAGAAUAAAGCAUCAACUACUUCUGCUUACAUACUUUUUUCUAUGAAUUUUGGCAAAUCGAUCGUUUUUGUCAUAUUAAUAACAGAUAUGUUAACUUGAUGAGUAAUUUAGGAUUAAUUUCCAAAUUGAAUAGUGAUUUUGACAAAUGUGACACAUGUAGUAAGUCAAAAAUCACUAAACGAUCUAAUAAGAGUAUUGAAAGAAGCACCGAAUUACUUGAGCUAAUUUGCAUUAAUAUUUGUGAAUUUAAAGGUAUUCAAACUCGUGGAGAAAAUAGAUAUUUUAUCACUUUUAUCGAUGACUUUUCUAAAUAUACUUAUAUUUAUUUAUUAAAAAAUAAAAGUGAUACUUUUGACAAAUUUAAAGAUUUCCUCCAUAAAGUAGGAAAUCAAUUCGGUAAAAAGAUUAAGAGAAUUAGAAGUGAUCGAGGUCGUGAGUAUGAAUUUAUGGGAUUCAACUCUUUUAUUUAGUCUUUAGGAAUUAUCCAUGAAACUACUGCUCCAUGUUCACCUGUCUCUAAUGAAGUGGCUGCGAGAAAAAACAGAAUACUUAUUAAGCUAACAAAUGCUAUGAUAGGUGACACUCGUGUAUCCUUAAAUGUCACGCCCCGGGGUCCCUAUUUGAUUUAAAAGCAAUGCGGAAGUGCCUAAUUUUUUUUUUUUGAAAACCUGACCCCCAGGUUAUGCCAGAUCCGCCACAAACAUAGAGAGUCCACUGUUCACAUAGACAGAAUCUCUCCUGUAUUUGCACGACGUCACACAAGUACAAGAUGCAUAAUUCGCAAUACAUGAUACAACCACCACAAAUGAACAUCUACAGAUAAUCAUACACCAUUCACCAUCACAUCCACAACCAGAGUUAUUUAUAAAUCCACAACUAUUAGUUUAAAAUGUUUCCAAGCCAAAAACUCGUUUUAACACACUAAAUCAUGAAAACCGAGAAAACUGUUUUAAAAACCGUUUCCCACACAAAAACCUUUUCCUUUUAAAACUCGCUAUCACGAGGGGUAGAAAACCAUUUUCAUUUCGCAAGAAUCCAAAUUCUUUAUUACAUUAAUGAAAACCUAAAUAUUCGAUUCACAUAAAAGUACUGAACCAUAAUUGCAGUCUAAGUUAUUUAUUUAAAGAAACUGAGUUUAGAGUUUAAACUAAUGGACGGGUCCGUAAGCUCUACCGAACCGCUACGUACGCUUCUCGCGAAUCGUCCCACUAGGACCUGCGACGUCAUCUGUAAUGGGGGUGGAGGGUGAGAACAUGUAAACAUGUCUCCCCUCCCAGUGGGUACCGCAAGCCGAUGAGGGCGAGGGGUACUCACCAGUCAAGGAGAAUAUCAAAGGUAUUGGUAAGUGUAAACAGUAGCAACGAUAAUACUGAAACGAGAUGUAUAAAUGAAUACUACUGCUACCGUAUGAAUGCAUCAACCGGACGACAAGUCCAAAGUACCCAAUCUGAAAUAGCCAUAUUGGUCCGCACACCUCAGACCUGUGCCACAACUGCUCAACCUAUACAUGACCCGUGCAAAAAGCACCUGGGUCUGAAAGGUAUAUGACCCUCGCAUAAAGCACCCAGGUCUGAAAGCAUAUAACCCUCGCAUAAAGCACCCGGGCUCACGGGCUGGCACUCCCAACCAGUUUUUCGGAAAAGAACACCCUCUUGCGGUGGAUCAGACCGCAGGUGUUCGUGAAAUGCGUACGAGCAGUGGCGAUCGAUGCUGAAUGUUCAAUAACCAACCGUCGACAAUUAGCCGACAAUCUUGCCCCUCAGGGCACACCGACCAUAUAGGUCGUCAAAUAGUCCAACCGACCAAGUAGGUCAUGAUAACAAUGUAACAAGCCGACCAAAUAGGUCACAGAUACAAGAUACGAGAACCGACCAACCAGGUCACAGAUAUCAUAUGUAGAUAAAUCUACUCUACUCCUACUCAUGAUACUAGACAUGAAAACAACCGAGUAGAGUAUAACGGAAACAACAUGGGUGUAAGGCUCAAUAUAUAAUAUGCAAUAUAAACAACAAGGAGUGAAAGGAAUGUCACCGAGCGUGCACCACUGUACCGUCUUCGGGUCGAAGUACCCACCUAUACAAAUACGGUACUGGCUUUCCAACUACGGAGGAAGCAACAACCGGACCUACGAAGGUUCCACCGGGUUAGAAUCCAACCCACGACUACAAAACAGUAACUCACAAUCCCCACCAAUAACCUUACGGGAAUCAGUUUCCCAAAACCGAUUGCCGAACACGCCGGAAGUACUGAAAAUCACACCGGGACUCCGCCGGGACCCAUGAACUGUCCCGAAACUCACCGACUCGCUCUACGAGUCACCCGCUGCCAUCAAACACGUAUAAUUGUGUGACUUGGCAGCAAGUACACCACCUCACAUCGUAACGAUUAUCGUCAGAUAAUCGUUCCGAUCCGGAUUCCCCGAAGUGUCCAAUUCGACACCGGAACCCACUGUCGCUCACCCGUCAUUUCCGAACCUUUGAAACGAUGCAAGUGACCAGCCAACAAGGCUCAGUGACAACACAAAUCAACGUGAGGCACCGUCGGAAGAAUUUCGAAUCGAAAACGCGUUCCGUUGGCGGAUUUUGCCGACAAAUGCACUGAAAAUUAAUUUUCGAUUUUCGAAAAGGCUUAGGGCCUUGGACAACCAGUCCAGACGUUACCCGCUGCCCAAACAUGCUGCCAAUAGCAACCACAAUUUAAACAAUUGCAUAAAAAUCCUCGCGACUACAUAAAAUUACAUUAUUUUAUGUGAUUUUCGGGGUUUUACGGCCCGACAACACAAACCGAGGACCCUCAAGCCUGGCCGAGGCACCCGCUGACAGGUCUCAAUGUGCUGGAGGCCGUGCUCACACUUCGGAGCACUGCCGGCCACUGUGGCAGGCGCACGAGCGAUGCGAACUUCAGCGAAAAGCGCGCACAAUGCUUAAAUCGCGUCUAUCGUGCAAACUGGGGCAUCGUUGACCCCGACGGAGGUGGGCACGAUGUUCGGCAUGGAUCAGAUAUCAUCGUGCUCACUUCCAGAAUUAUCGGGGUGUCUCCGAAUCGCCGGAAAGGUGACUGGAACCCCAAACAGUGCACAGAAAACAUAAAUUAAUGCUUACCGGACCAGUAGGAGCACAGGUUGGCCAACGGCAGCCGGACGGCAGGCACGCCGGCAGGGGACGGGUGCGGCCGGUCAGUGGGGUCGAGGGCAGGUGCUAGCCGGCAGUGGGAGGCAGCCGGUGGCGCGGCGGAGGAGAUCAAGCCCGCACAACCAAGCUCGGUGCAAGGAAACAACGACGGCCAGGCAGCAGUCGGAGGAGCCUCGGGGCGAUGGCGGCCGGUCGCCGGAGGUCGAGGGAGGGCGGUGCGACUGGAAGUGGGCGGCGGCGACGCGCGGUGGCCGAGGUGACUCAGCCUCGGCCUUCUUUGAGUCUGGGCAGCCGCAGGGAGCAUUAGUGGUGGCCAGCGGCCACGGGGACGUCGGGGGCGAUGAGCGGAGGGUCGCCGGAGACCCAGGAGGGCGGCGCGACCGAUCUAAAGUGGCGACGGUGCGCGGGCCACGAGUUCACCCGAGUUUCGUCUGGGCUAACCGCGGGUCGCCGCGGAUCUCCCAGGCGACGCCGGCUGAGCGCGUGGACGGCGGGGCCCGGCGGGGAUAAUGCCGGAGAUCGGUCUCGGCCAGGGGACGAAGGCCCGACACGAUGGAUUGACUCCCAAUGAGCUAUAGCUGAAGUGGGUGGCGGCUAGGUGGAAGGGAAGAUGGAUGAAAGGCCGAGCUCGGGUUUUCCGGAUGCCGGGACACUUGCCGACUGCCGGGGUGUGCGCACGGCUAGGGCAAGGGCCAGCUGACGACGGCUAGGGCUGAGCUCGGCUGAGGAGUCAUCUAGGGUUAGGGUUAGCAUGGAACCCUAAUUUAGCUUUUAUAUAAGUUGGUAAAAAUGCGAUUUAGCCCUCCAAAUUUGAUUAUUUUCAGCUAAGUCCCUGCCAGCGCGUGUAAGAUGAGCGUACGCCCCUCGACGUUCAAAUUUACGCAAAACAGUACAUAAAAUAUUGGGAUUUUCUCAUAUUUUCCAUUUUGCCAAUUUUUGACCUCUCAGCGAAUAAUUCACGAUUCCCGAAGAUCCGUCCGUCGGAUUUCCGAUCGGAUCGUACCAGCGCGUUCAGCACGACUGGGGCAUCGAAUCUACUAUUUCGUUUCGUCCGAUUUAGUCGCCGAUUUGCGACGAAACCAACCCUCUUUACAUUUCACCAACAUUUAUACAUAUAAACACAUAUACUUUAAAUUUUCAAAUUCAAAAAUCCAAAUUUCUUUAUUAAAAAAAAUCUCGGAUAUUACAUUAAACCUUUGGGGUGAAGCCAUUUUAACUGCAUGUUAUGUCUUGAAUCACGUGCUAUUUAAGAAGUCUAAGGUGACACCUUUUGAAUUGUGGAAAGAGUAUAAGCCAAAUUUGAGAUAUCUUAAAGUGUGGGGUUGUCUAGCAUUGUGAGGCUACCGGACUCUAAAAAAUCCAAAUUGGAUGUUAGACCUGUCAUUUGUGUAUUUCUUGGAUAUACUUUGAACAAUAUAGCUUAUAGAUUUUUAGACAUUGAAAAUAAUGUGAUUUUUGAAUCAAAAGAUGCUAUUUUUUAUGAAAACAAGUUUCCUUGUAAAUCAAAAAAUAGUGAGGGUCAAGAUUUUAAAAGUGUUUCAAAUAAAUUGUGUUCUUCAAACUCUUUUUACAAAAUCAGGAACAACAUAUUUUGAACCUAGAAUAAACAAACAAAAAAAAAUAGAAAAAAAUUUUGGCCCUGAUUAUGUUGUUAUGAAUAUUAAAGAAAAUUCACUUUUUUUUACAAGAAGCUUUAUAUUCAAAUGAUACAAUUUUUUGGAAAGAGGUUGUAUCUGAUGAGAUGAAAUCUUUAAUUUCUAAUAAAAACGAAAAUUAGUGGAUUUACCUACAGGCUGUACAACAAUUGGUUGAAAAUGGGUCCUCAGAAAGAAAUUAAAAUCGGGUAGGAGUGUAGACAAGUAUAAAGCAAGACUUGUCGCAAAAGGUUAUAAAUAAAAAGAAGAUCUAGACUUCCUUAAUACCUUUUCUCCGAUUACUAGAGUAACAUCCAUCAGAGUUCUGAUUGCUAUUGUUGUAUUUCAUGGUUUACAAAUUCAUUAGAUGGAUAUAAAAACCGCUUUUCUGAAUGGUGAUCUAGAUAAGAAAAUUUUUAUGGACCAACCUGAGGGGUUAUUGAGCCUCAACAAAAAAAUAAAGUGUACAACCUGAGGGGUUCAUUAAGGCAAGCACCCAAACAGCGGCAUGAAAAACUUGAUUUUUGCAUAAUUGAGAAUGACUUUAAAUUAAACGAGUGUGAUAAGUGCAUCUAUUACAAAACUUUUAAAAAAUUACAUGUUAUUGUUAGCCUUUAUGUGGAUGAUUUGCUAAUUUAUGUCUCUAACUUAAAUGUUAUCUAUGAGACAAAGAUUAUGCUAAAUCAUUAUUUUGAAAUGAAGAAUCUUACUAAGGCUAAAUUUAUUUUGGGUAUGAAAAUUACCAAAACACCAGAUAGAAUCUUUCUUGAUCAGUCACAUUAUAUCAAGAAAAUUUUAAGAAAGUAUAACUUUUUUCAUUACAAGCAUGUGACUAUACCUUUUGAUUCGAGUGUUCACUUAUUUCCUAUUAAAAGUGAAAGUGAAAUUUUGAAUCAAAAGGAAUAUGCUAGUAAGAUUGGAAGCUUGCGGUUUGCGACUGAUUGUAUGAGACCUAAUAUUGCAUAUACAAUAGGGAUACUUAGUAGAUUUACAAGCAAGCUUGGUAUACAGCAUUGGCAUGCCAUGAAACGUAUGAUGAGAUAUCUCGUUGGUAUCAAAACUUAUGGCUUUUUUUUAUGGGAAGUAUCCUGCUGUAAUUGAGAGUUACAGUGAUGCUGACUGGAAUACCCUAUCAGGUGAUUCUCUCUCUACCACUGGUUAUAUUUUUACUGUAGCAGGUGGUGAUAUAUGUUGGAAAUCUAAAAAACUAACUAUCAUUGCUAACUCAACUGUGGAAGCAGAGUUUAUUGCCUUAGCUUCAGUUAGGGAGGAAGCUAGUUGGUUGAGAGAUUUAUUGUCUGAGAUUCCAUCUAUGUUAAUACAUUGUGAUAGCACUACUGCUAUUAGUAGAGUAAAAUUCGCUAUUAUAAUAGUAAAUUCAGAUCCAUGAGAAGAAAACACGGUACUGUGAGAUCAUAUAUGAACAAUGGUGUUACCAGCGUAGAUUAUAUUAAAUCUACUGAUAAUCUGGCAUAUCCACUGAUAAUCUGGCAUAUCCAUUAACCAAUAUCUUGGGAAAAGAAAGGAUCAGGAGCACAUCGAGGGGGAUAGAGUUGAAGCCUAUAAAAUCAUGAACCACGUAUGAGGAUACCCAAUCCGAUGAUCAGAGAUCCUGAAAAUUGGGUUCAGUGGGAAAAAGGAAUCAUAUGGUGGUCGUAAAGAAUGCACAAUAUAUAGAUCUAUAUGAUCGCAUCUUUAUAUAUCCCUAUGGUGUGGAUGCAUUCAUCCUGUAAUGAAAAGAGGGUUGAGUUUUUGCUCUUAAUGAAAUCUGUGGCUCUUAUGAUGUCAGAAUUAUAGGAACACCUUUGAUGGAUUUCACCUAUGUGAGCAUGGAAGUGAGGUCACUUCCUAUGAGAAUGGGCUUAUUCUCAAAUAUGCUAAUGAAAACUAGGAUCAGCACAAGGUCAUAACGUGCUAGAUAGUAAAACUCAUGUCAACACCUAGAUUAUUAUAUGUGAGCAGUGACUCUCUAUUUUUCCUAAGUAGCCAAAGUUCAUGAGACCACUCUGGCUCUAGAGUAGAGAUUAUUGUUUUACUAAGUGAAUGUUCAAUGCAGAGCAUACUGUCAUUAUGUAUAACAGUCCUUCUUUGGUCAUCAAACUCUCAUAUAUUUUUAAUAAAAUGAGUGGGGGAAUGUUGUAACAUUUAUUAUUAAUUAUGAAAAUUUAAUUUUGACUAAAUUACAAAACCCCCUUGUCAAUACUUGCUUUUUCACUCCCCCCCUAUCAUUCAAAAACCUACAGUUUGCCCUAUUGAAAAAUGAAAAAUGUUUCACUUCGGCCCCCGCCGUCAGUGUUCCGUUAGGGUUUCAUUUAUAUCUUAUUUUUUAUAUCUAAAAUACCCAUGAAGACCUUAUCCAUGCUCACACACAUACCCUCGGCCGCCGCCUCGCCCUCGCCCACCCCUCUGUUUAUACCCAGACACAUGCCGUCGCCCUCCAUUGCCCCCUUACCCUUGCCCUCGCCCACCUCUCCGCCCAUGCCCACCACGAUCUCCUCCCUACAAUCGCCGAAUAAAGGGACGGCGAGUGUCAUGCCCUGGGGUCCUUUUGUAAAGCCUUUUUGAAUAAAAGGGGCCAGUUUGAAAUAAAGUCAGCAAAAAGUGCCUAUAUAUAUAUAUUUUUAAUUACAACUUGUCCCUAAGAUGUAACAGACCCGCCACAGAUAUAGAAAUCUCCUUGUCCAUGCUGGCGAAGUUUUUUCUGUAUUUGCAUGGCGUAUCGAUACAACAUACACAACAACACACACACCCACUCACACAAACAACAUACACAAUGCAGAUGUCAGAUAACCAUUCAGCUAACCAUCCUUAUGAUGAUGCAUGCUCUAAACACUCCUUAGGCGAAGGAUGAUGCUAAUGCACAUAUAUCAAUCAAUUCUAUUCUUUAAAAGUAUUUUCUACCCGAAAACUAUAUUUAAAAACACUAAGUAUCGAUAAAUCCAAAAGUCAUUUGAAAAUUGUUUCUCACAUGGAAACUCACUUUCGAAAAGCCAGCUACCACGAGGGGUAAAAAACUACGUACGAUAAAACCAUCAACUACAUGCCUCAGAUAAACCACAAUUAUCACGUUGAAUUAUUGAGAAUCAUCAAGCAUUCACAAUACUCAUAUACCACCAAGUUCGGCAAUCAAACAAGCAAAUAACGGAGCCACAUAAACUCUAGUUUAUUAACGAACAUGAAGAGAAGAGUCAAGACAGAACAACCGUAACUGAAUGAUGACUGGUCGGAACCUCUAUAGCUCCCUAGCUAUCGUGCCUCACACACAGUCCCGAUUCCCACCACCGAGAUCACCUGAAAAAUGGUGGGGGUGAGAACAUGUAAACAUGUCUCCCUUCCUAGUGGGUAUCGCAAGCCGACGAAGGCGAGGCAUACUCACCGGCAAAGGAGGAAUAAUAGAUAGAUAUGUAUAUAUUAAGUACAGUAGCGAACAAUGGAAAACAGGUAUAAACGUGUAUGAAUAAACACUGAUACUGCAAAUAAUGAACAUAUACAUCAACUGUAAAUAAACCAAAAACCCAAUCGCUUUGCCCUAUAGAUCCGAAGAUCGCAGGCAAUGUCACCGUAUGCUCACCCACCAGGCACACAACCUCCGCAAGCACUUGGCAAGAGGCUCAUGGGUUGAGAAGACGACUACUUUUUUAAAAAAGAACAACCCCACGGUGGCCAAACCACUGGUGUACGUAAAGUGCUAAAUGAGUUGUGACGAUCGAUGCGAAAUGCUCAAUCCACAGGACGACAACAAGCCGAGAAUAGCAACAACUAACACAUGUCCAAGAGAUUGCUCGGAUCGUCGAGCCGAUCAACACUGACCAAUCAAGUCUCACCGUAAGAUCAUGCAAGAUACACCACAUCACUCUGCUAAUAUCAUAUGCAGGGAUGAAAGUAGGGAACAAUAACUGGACGUCGAGUGGAAUCACGCUUAUCCAUAACAUGCAAGGAGAAGGGAAAAGAGAAAUAUCAUCGAGCUAGUUCACUAUACCAACUUCGAAUCGAAGCACCCACCUGAACUGGAGAAGAGCCUAACUCCCAAGGCUCGCACGAAUGUCGACUGGACCUACGAAAAACCCACCAAGUCAUUGUCCAUCGAGUCGACUCGAAAACACUAAACUCACAAUCCUGAAAUCGUCGGAAUUUUCAAAAAGUCCACCGGAAUGAUUCCGAACUCAAGGAAAUACCCGGGAAAGUACCACUAAGCAACCCAAGUCAUCCGCUGUCCGUAAACACACCAAUUUAGGUGGUCGGAUUCCAGGGUGCAUAAAACAUAAACAAACCCAUAAUGACAUUUCGGGUUCCCGAAAAUGCCGUUUUCGGCAUCGGAACCCUCCGUCGCUCAUUUGUUGUCUCCGAAACUUUGGGACAGCAAGGAAAACUAGCCAACAAGGCUCAGUGACAAAACUAGGGCAUCAACAACUCCACAAAGUGAGUCCCACAUCGAUAAACACGUUCCGCCAACAAUUUCAUCGAAAAAAUGCUCCGAAACACGAUUCGAUCUUGCGAGACCAUCGAGGACUUGGACAAUCAGUUUAGAGGGUCACACGAGGUGGUCUCACACUGUCCGAGGCAGCCCAUGCUGUCACUAUUGCAUGGAAGCCCUCAAAUAAUACAUAAAUAGCAUAAACUCAUGAAUUUACACACUAAAAAGGCAACAUCACCGGUAUCGCGUGAUUUCGAGAUCAACCAAGGGCACCAAUAGCAAGGUCUCAUCAAAGUGAAGCCCAUGCUCCCUAUCUGAGUCAUCAAAAAUAGUCACGGAGCACUUCGAGCCCAUAGAAAAUGCUAGAAUAUAAGGCCCAAUGGAGCGACAUCGUCGAAACAGCGAAAUGAGGCCUUCCUGACAGAAACCGAGGUGAGCACGAUGAUCAGUGAUGAGUCAAGAUCAUCGUGCUCUCUUUCUUGAAGAUCGAGACCCGGGUUACUCGAAAUAGUGAACAACCCAAGAAAUGCCCCAUUUCAGGCUUGGCCGGAGCAAGCUUCCUCCGGCCGGUUGCUUGCGGCACGGCAAUGCGCGCGCAUGCCAGGGAUAGAUGCGGGGAAGGUGAGGAACACCGUGCUCACCUUGCCAGCGGCGGGGAGUGGCGGCGACGGCGCUGGAAGCAAGUGCGGCCAACCCGGGUCUAGGUCUCUGGCUCGAUGGCUCCUCCCAGCGAUGGCGACGGUCAGGACAGGUUGGGGACGAUGGCGGCGGGUCCCCUGAGGCUAGAGAGAGGUGGCGGCGUCGGCUAACGGCGGGGCUGCGGCGGCGGCGCUUCAAGGAUGCUCGGCCGCCACUGCCACUGAUAAUGCCAACUAGCAAAGCAGCGGCUACGGCGCUUUCGGGCAACACGGGGAUGGCCAGGGAGGUCUUCGGAGGUUCAAAAGGUGGGGAAGAGGAAGGUCUACCCGAGCACAACUCCCCUGGUAGCCUCAGGUCCAGAGAGAGAGAGAUGGAAAGAGAGAGCUUGAGGGAGAGAGAGAGGGAGGUGGCAGCAGGUUUGGCCGGCCGGAGAGGGUCGUCGGUGGCCAGGGGGGCGCGCGGCCCCUCACAAAGGGAGGUGGGAUAUGACUAGGGUUAGGUGGCUGAGGAGAGGGGAGCUAGGGUUAGGGUUUCAUCAUGUGAAACCCUAGAUGCCAACUUAAUAGCAUUCGAACAAUUACGAAAAACCCCUCGAAACCUCGACCAAUUAAUCCAAGCCCUUCACCAUUCGCAUAAAACGCGUCAACACCCCUCCACGAGGAAUCCCUCACGAAACGAUACAUAAAAUAUAAGGUAUUUUACGAAAAAUACUUGUUUCGCAAAAUCGUCCCAUCCCCGAUAAAUGCACUAUUUCGGACGAUCGGUUCGUCGGGCAUACGAACAGAUCGCACCAGCGCUUCUGGCAUUGCCAGGCCAUCAAACCCACGAUUUUGUUUCAUCAGAAACGGUCGCCGAUUCGCGACAAAUCGAACCCUCUUCCAGCCCUUCAAAAACAACUUAUAUAUAUAUAUCUAUAUAUAUAUACAUAUAUGUAUAUGUAUAUGCAUAUACAUAUAUGUAUGUAUAUGUAUAUACAUAUAUGUAUAUGUAUAUGUAUAUAAAUAUGUAUAUACAUAUACAUAUAUACAUAUACAUAUACAUAUACAUAUACAUAUAUGUAUAUGUAUAUGUAUAUACAUAUAUGUAUAUGUAUAUACNCAUUUUACAAGCUGAUUUUGUGGCUGUCAUUAAGCUAGAAAAGCAGUAAUGUAUCACCACACUAUUUCGACUACCACUAUGUUUUCUUGGAUUUGCGAUAUAAGUGGGCUCCAUUUUGUCAAAAUUGACGAACUAAUUUAUAUAUUCAUAUUAUAUUAUUUAGCCUAUGAGAUGAACUGUUGAUAUAGUUGAGAUAAAUAGUGAUAUUUUGACACUUAUCAGUAGAGUAAAUUGAAAUAUAUAUAUAUAUAUAUAUAUAUAUAUAUAUAUAUAGGGAAAACUUCAAAAACCCCCCCUGUGGUUUCGUUGUUUCUCACUUUGCCCCCCUGUGGUUUAAAGUGUAUCAAUUUGUCCCCCUGUGGUUUUGUUUUUAUCUUUUCGGUAGCUUUUUCGUUAAUAUUUUGUUAAAUUAUAUACAAAAAACUUCAGAUACCCAUUUUGAUUUAUCAAAUAUUCACUUUAGUACCUUUAAUUUUAACUUUAUUACUGAUUUAAGGAAAAAAAAAUAAUGAAAUUGAUAAGAAAAAGAGAAAAAUAAAACCACAGGGGGGCAAAUUGAUACAUUUUAAACCACAGGGGGGCAAAGUGAGACACUACGAAACCACAGGGGGGGUUUUUGAA
RNAcentral lists this long non-coding RNA (49132 nucleotides) under Ananas comosus (pineapple). Its description in RNAcentral is "long non-coding RNA (ACOM_LNC015286)". The record is from RNAcentral. Lineage: Eukaryota; Viridiplantae; Streptophyta; Magnoliopsida; Poales; Bromeliaceae.